CCUAUAUUUGCAUGCGAGGUGUAAUAUAAAGAUAAAACAAUAGGGAUUUUGCAGUACUUUAAGCAGCUUGGUAAUAAUGUCACAGGGUCAAGGUCGACCCUACCUCGAUUCUCACCCGUGACUGGCCUUGGUCACCCUCACCGGCACCAAGCAGCCUCUACACGCCACGUGGAGGUCUUUCCUUCAUCAAUAGACAAUGCAUUCUCUCUCAGAGAACAGGAGAAGGAGGCUGAAGUGGAAGCCGAGGCCCGCUGUUCCCGGCCUUUGGACGGAUGCCCAGUGAAGACCUACCCAAUAUCACAAGAUUCCUUGCACUGAAUGCCAGAUUUUGCUUGAUCAGGCCCAGAAGACGAGAUGGGCCCACACCUUGAUGAACUCUAAACUUUCUCUUCACACAAGAAACAAAAAAAGAAAAGAAAAGAAAAAAAAGACAGGAAUCCCCACCCCACCAUCUCUCUCUCCACCAAAUGCUGAGAUCAGCAACGUCGGUUAAGGUCCAAGCAUUUGACUUAGUUACACGCGUGGUCAGGCGAUGUUGUGGAACUGAGACUUUCGAAGUCAACGUGGUGACAUAAACUGACUCCCCGACAGCGUUCGCUUCAUCCGCAACCCCCCCAUCGGCUACUUGCUAAACUCGGCGAGCUUGCCGACGGUGAUGGUGCGGAACGGCUCGGAGAGGUAAGCUUGGGUCCGGGCGGAGAUCUCCUGGGCCACGAACCUCAUGGCGGGGCGGGCCCCCGGGUCCUUGUUGGUGCAGGCCAGGGNNNNNNNNNNNNNNNNNNNNNNNNNNNNNNNNNNNNNNNNNNNNNNNNNNNNNNNNNNNNNNNNNNNNNNNNNNNNNNNNNNNNNNNNNNNNNNNNNNNNNNNNNNNNNNNNNNNNNNNNNNNNNNNNNNNNNNNNNNNNNNNNNNNNNNNNNNNNNNNNNNNNNNNNNNNNNNNNNNNNNNNNNNNNNNNNNNNNNNNNNNNNNNNNNNNNNNNNNNNNNNNNNNNNNNNNNNNNNNNNNNNNNNNNNNNNNNNNNNNNNNNNNNNNNNNNNNNNNNNNNNNNNNNNNNNNNNNNNNNNNNNNNNNNNNNNNNNNNNNNNNNNNNNNNNNNNNNNNNNNNNNNNNNNNNNNNNNNNNNNNNNNNNNNNNNNNNNNNNNNNNNNNNNNNNNNNNNNNNNNNNNNNNNNNNNNNNNNNNNNNNNNNNNNNNNNNNNNNNNNNNNNNNNNNNNNNNNNNNNNNNNNNNNNNNNNNNNNNNNNNNNNNNNNNNNNNNNNNNNNNNNNNNNNNNNNNNNNNNNNNNNNNNNNNNNNNNNNNNNNNNNNNNNNNNNNNNNNNNNNNNNNNNNNNNNNNNNNNNNNNNNNNNNNNNNNNNNNNNNNNNNNNNNNNNNNNNNNNNNNNNNNNNNNNNNNNNNNNNNNNNNNNNNNNNNNNNNNNNNNNNNNNNNNNNNNNNNNNNNNNNNNNNNNNNNNNNNNNNNNNNNNNNNNNNNNNNNNNNNNNNNNNNNNNNNNNNNNNNNNNNNNNNNNNNNNNNNNNNNNNNNNNNNNNNNNNNNNNNNNNNNNNNNNNNNNNNNNNNNNNNNNNNNNNNNNNNNNNNNNNNNNNNNNNNNNNNNNNNNNNNNNNNNNNNNNNNNNNNNNNNNNNNNNNNNNNNNNNNNNNNNNNNNNNNNNNNNNNNNNNNNNNNNNNNNNNNNNNNNNNNNNNNNNNNNNNNNNNNNNNNNNNNNNNNNNNNNNNNNNNNNNNNNNNNNNNNNNNGGAUAGUCGGGGCUCGAAGUCUGUUUCCAGAAGGAUGUUGCUGGUCUUGACGUCCCGGUGGGCGAUGGGGGGGGAGUGGUCAUGGUGGAGAUAGGAAAGGGCGUGGGCCACCCCCUGGAUCACUCGGACCCUGGCCGGCCAGUCGAACUUCCCGCCGGCUCCGCCUUCCUCCCCGUAGAGCACCUUCUGCAGGGUGCCCUUCUCCAGGUACUCGUAGACCAGGUACAUACGGCCGGAGCUCGAACAGGAGCCGUACAGCUUGACGAUGUUCCGGUGGCGGACCUCCGUCAGCGCCCGGAUCUCGUUCUCGAAGCUCCUGAGGCUGGCCUCGGGAAUGUCCGAAGAGUCCAUCAGGUUGAUACGUUUCACGGCGACGACGUGCCCUGUGGGGAGCUUCGCCCGGUAGACGGUGCCGAAUCCCCCCUUUCCGAUGCAGAAAGCCUCGGCGAAGUUGUCGGUGGCGUUGACGAUGUCGAGGAAGCUGAACUUGCCCUCCUUCUCCCACGCGACCGACUUGAAGCUCUCCUCGCUGUGGCCGACCGCCUCAAGGACAUUCCGCCGUCGCCUACGGCGGGAGGAGAAGAUCACCGCGGCAAAGACGACGACGACACAAACCAAGAAAGCCACAGGAACGGCGACCGCGAUGAUGAUCUUCCAGCUGUUAUUGUCUUCCUUCCCAGCAUAAUUAGCUUCACAGGCGGGCAACCCCGCGAUGUCUCCGCAGAGCGAGUUACCUGCAAAGGCUGCAGCAGAGGCGUUUCGGAAGACGCUCCAGCUCGGUACGGGGCCCGUCAGAUUGUUGUAGGAGAAAUCCACCGAGUUUAAGCUGACCAUGUUGGUGAAACUACUCGGGAUCGAGCCGGAAAGCUUGUUGUGGGAUAGGUCGAGGACUUCCAGCCUGAUCAGUUUGCCUAGGUUAGGAGGUAUGGGUCCGGAGAGGGAGUUGUUGCUGAGAUCCAGCAACGUCUGUAGAUUGACCAGGUUCCCGAGCUCGUCUGGUAUGCUUCCCGUGAGAUUGUUGUCACUGAGAUCUAGUGCCUGCAGGCCAACGAGUGCACCGAGCCGGGCAGGAAUUGAGCCGACGAGCCUGUUGUCGGAUAAAUCCAGCAGUUGGAGCUCGGAGAGAUUGCCGAUCGCCGGAGGAAUCUGGCCCGAGAUCUCAUUAUGGCUCAGAUUGAGACGAAACAGCCUGCUCGUAUUGCCCAGUAGGAGCGGAAUCUCCCCUGUGAGGAGAUUGGAAGAUAAGUCGACAUUUCGUAGCUCUGGCAACCUCAAAAGCUCCGAGGGGAUCCUCCCGGUGAUUCUAUUGCCACCAAGCAGAAGAGUUUCGAGCGCCAAGCAUUGUCCCCAAUCUGGUGAGAGCUCGCCUGUCAACUGGUUCCCCGAGAGUUCCAGGUACCGCAACAUCGGAUGCACGCCAAAUGCUUCCGCAAUGUCCCCUGAGAAGUGGUUCGACUGCAGGCGGACCCUUUCGAGCUUCGAGCAAUUCCGCAGGCAGCUUGGGAGUCGUCCGGUGAAGUUGUUCUCCGCUGCAGUGAGGUGCACCAACUCGUAGCCCGUGCACAAGCCUUGAGGCAGUUCGCCGGAUAAUCUGUUGAUCGAGACGCUCACGUUGGCCAAGAGCGCGUUCUUCCCCAAAUCGGGGGGCAGACUGCCGCUGAAGUUGUUGCUGUAGAGGUAUAAGAGGUAAAGAUCCUUGAGGUCAGAGAUGCUUCCGGGGAUAUCGCCGCUGAGCUGAUUGGUGUCUAGGUCUAUCGUCUGAAGAGCCGUCAUGUUGCCGAUCUCUUCUGGGAUCGGGCCCGUGAGGUUGUUGACUUGGAGGUGCAGGUUGGUCAGCCGCUGAAGCUUUACGAUGGUAGCUGGGAUCUGACCGCUGAGCGAGUUUUCGGAGAAAUCGAUCUCUACCAGAUUUAUCAAGUUCCCGAUCUCCGGCGGGAUGGAUCCUGUUAACUUGUUCGUGAAGAGGUACAGGAAUCUGAGGUUCAUCGCCAGUCCGAUUUCGGGGGGAAUCCGGCCGGUGAAGGCAUUCUCCUGAACUUGGAAAGAUAUAAGGCGAGUCCAAUUGCGGAAGAAGGCCGCCGGGAUCUCGCCGGUGAGGAGAUUGGCCGAGACGCCGAAUUCCGCCAUCGCCCCGAUUUCCGCGAGGGAAGGCGGCAACUCCCCCGUCAGCUGAUUGCCGGACAGUUCGAGGAAGCUGAGGUUCCUGCAACUUCCCAGACCUGCCGGGAUGGAAGAGUUCAAUUCGGCCGCGUUGAGGGCCAGCCUCUCGAGCCGCCGGAGAUUCCCCAAGGAAGGAGGGAUCGGCCCGCCUAAGGGAUUUUCGUUGAGCUCUAGUAUGCGGAGGCCGGGAAGAGAACCCAGAGAAGGCUGAAUCCCGCCGGUGAAGCUGUUCGCCCCGAGGCGGAGGACUUGAAGCCUGGUAAGGUUGGAAAUGGAAGCCGGUAUCUCCCCGGUGAACUUGUUGGCGCCGAGGUCGAGGAUCUCGAGCAUCGUCAGAUUGCCGGCCACUGUGUCCAGAAUCGAGCCGGUGAAGCUGUUUAUUGAGAGGUUAAGGUAGCGCACCUUGCGGAGACGGCCUAUCUGGUGAGGGACCAGUCCCCCGAGGUCGUUAUAAAAUAGGUUUAGCUCGAGGAUCUCCGAGAGCUGAGAGAUCUCCGGCGGCAGAGUGCCGUUGAAAUAGUUGUUGCUCAGAUCAAGGGAGGUGAGCUUGGACAGCGCCGAGAUGUUGGCGGGAAUGGAGCCACUGAGAUUGUUGUUGGCGAGGUUGAGGCGAAUGAGAUUGGGGAACGACCGGAAAUCAAGGUCCUCCAGGGUUCCAGAAAGGUUCCCGUCGGUCAAGUUGAUCCCGACGACGCUGCCGGCGGUGUUGCAGGUGACGCCGGACCACCCGCACGGGCUGGCGGCCGAAGCGUUGCGGCCCAACCUCCAUGAGUCCAGCGACGGCGCGGGAUCCAAGCUGGACUUCCAUCUCACGAGCGCCUCGGCCUCGGUCGCCGCCGCCGCCGGUGAGCAGCACAGAGAGAAGGCGACCACCAGGAGGAGGAACAUGAGAGAAGGCCUUGGUUUCUGCCGGAGCUGGAAGAACCUCAGGGAGCCGUCGUCGUCCUGGUACGAUUAUCUGGGGGGCUAAUAAACCGCGUUGCUACGGAGGCGGCUGACAGCUACCGAGGAAGGAGGGAGGAAAGGGGGGGUGGGUUAUCGAACGCCAUGUGAACGUUUGCCCUGAAACUCAGCUAGCCCAUCGCGCGAGGGAAGACGGGGUCACUAUUCCCCUAAUCUUUUAAGUCGACGAGUGUGGAAGCCCGCCCCGCCAUGGCGGCGGCUGACUUGCGGAUUAUAGGAAUCCGAGGGCUUCCCUGCCCCAUAAAAGGACAAGGUUUUUGGGGGGGGGGGGGGGGGGGGAGGAUCGAACCAAUGAAGCGAGCUUCUACACACAGUAAUCUGAAAGGGUUAUGCGACCAGUGCUAACGAACCUCCCCAGUGGUCAACUCAGACGGCCAUUACAGACGGCCGUUUUUAUGAGACGCGUUCCGAGCAGCUGAUUUUCAACGAAACACGUUCGAUAGCUCGGGGGAUUCUCGCAUCAGCUGGGCCCUACUAGCACGAGCACAACCGCCGACAGGUCUGUGUGGGGAAGAAAGUGGGUGGGCGACGGCGGCGAUCGCGACGGCAUUUAUUAUCCAAUCUCAUUUGAGCAAGUCAAUUCCUGGAUCGACAUCCGAUCAAAUUAAUUAAAACGUGACACGUAGAAAGUGACCCAUCACACACGUCAUGAUCUGAAGGCAAUAACAAUUCAUCGGUGAGUAGUGUAAUACAUUAUGAUCUGAAGGAAAUUGUUGAGGGUUGACCCAGACUUUCUUUGAAUGGAUUAAUCUAGGAAAUGGGUUAAUCUCACGCUUCAUAUCGCAUCCUUCGAUCUAAAACUUGGCUGAUGAAUUUGUUUCUAUCCUAUUCUAAUUCACGUUAUGAUUUAAAUUGCAGCAAAUUUGAGUGGCUGGACCUUUCUAUUCUUCUCCCAAACAUGCUAGUUUUCUCGCCAAGUGAAUCAUAUUUUUUGCAUGAUGACCCUUUUACGGUGAAAAUAAGACACUUUUUGCUUCCAUCUGUGGUAGAUGUGAUACACAACAGUGCCUUCUAUUAUCGGUGAUAACUUGGCAUUUAUGAAUUAUAUCAAGGUUGACCUUUUCCUUGUUUUCUACUUUAUAUUCUGAGCACGAACCUGGCUCCUAGGUUUCCCUGCUAUACAUAAUGUUGUUUCGAUACUGAUUGUGGUCGUAUUGAAAUCGCAAUCCCUUAUCCAAUUUCAAAUGACCGAGAAAUUUUUUGUAAUAAGCUAAGGAAAUCAUCUAGUAAUCAGUUGGCCUCACUAGACUAUGCUAAUUUCAUUUUAGAAUAUUGGUGAAUCAUAAUUCUUACCUUUUGUGAGAGAAAUGUAUUUAUUAUUUACUCAACUACUUUAGUCAAAACUUGGAUUUUUAAUUUCAGAUAAGCAUUUUAAGUCUAGUUCUCUAUACCAAGCCAACAAAAAAUGAUGAAAUUCAAGCACACACCCAUGCAUGAACAUGGCCCCGUCUUUCUUGGGCAAAUGCUACGGUUAAACGUUCCUUUCUACAGGCGUCUAGAAAUGGAAGGAGAUCAUAGAUUUCGCCGACAAUAUCACCUACAACUUCCACAUAAGCCUCUACCUCCUCCUUAAUGGGCACAUGCGACUCUGCUCAUCCACCUACUGAAGAUCCUUGCCUAAUGUGGAGGGUUUUCAGCAGGAUGCCGGCAAGAGGUAGAAGCCAUGAAGCGGGUCCAGCCGCUACACUAUCUGAUCCCGUAAAGUCCAGCCGCCUAUCUUGACUCUCCACCCUUCGUGUGUUGUUCUGUGGAUUCUUCUUCUUGUUUGGCGGGUUCAAUCUAUUAUUCUUGGCUUCUAAAUGUCACCUUUUCAGGAACUACGAUUUGCAUUAUCUUCUUUGAGGUAUUUUCAGUGUAUUAUUUUUGUUCUAGGUGAAUCCCGUAUUUCACUUUGAUAACAGGAUUCACGGGGUGUUUCGUUUUCACAUAGAUCUAAAAUAAAUAAAAAAAAUUAACAUGAGCUACAAGCUGAUUCGAUUUCUCUUGCCGAAAGUGGUCAAUUAAUCAGAACCAGGUGGUUUAAAUAAUGGAGAGCGAAUGCCUUCGAAUGCAAAGAAAAUGGAGAAUGCAUCAGAAGUGGAGACCUUCGUUAGUCGGGUGGGGCCUUGCCUCUGCUCGUCGUCCGCGCCGAUCGUACGGCAGAGCUCCGCGAUCACCUUCACGGUCCGGGAUCACCUCCGGCGUCCGGGCCGGAGGAAAGAGCUCGCGUGGACGAAGAAGAGGCGGGCAGCGGCGGAGAGAAGAGAGGUUUUGGGGGGUUACCUGUGAGUGAAGCGAUGGUUUUGCCUCGAAUCUGCUUGGCGGUCUUCUUGUCGAUCACCUCGCAGCGGAAGGACAACAAGCGGCACAAAGGCGCCCUUCCCUUCGUUCGUGUUCUUCGUCCGUCGGUAAGAGCACUGCAAUCCAGAAGGAGCUGAACUAGUAGCAGUAGACAAUUCGCAGUAAGGGGAGAGCAGAAAAAGGGGGAGUGGGAGAAGAAAUUGCAAAAUGAUUUAAAUAUAUUUAAUACAAUACAAUCUGGAAAUAAUUUUAAAUUAUAAAAAUGUAUUUCACUAUCAGAUUUUGAUGCUGAAAGGACGUUUGAUUGCGCGUUCAUUAAUAUUUGUUGAUUUCAGAAUGACAUAAAUGUGCUAUGUCAAUUAUUUUACAUGACAGUGACUUAUGAUUUAAUGGAUUUGAAAAAAAAAUGCUUACUUUUUUGAAAGUGAUAUCUGUAAAUUAUUCUUUUUGUAAUUCAAUAACGAAUUUCUUAUGUUUCUUUGAAGUCAAUAGAACUCUAAUCAAAUAAAAUCCCUUCAAUUAGCCUUAAACAUUUAUGACAUUGAAAACUAUAUGGAACAAUUUUUGUCUCAAAUGAACGUAUUGUGAGAAAGUCAAAUUCAUAAUAUACUUGAAUUAAAUAAAAAAUUUCAUGUCAUGUGUUUUUUAAAUUUUCAUUAAAUGUGUUAUACCACUUGAACUCUGAACGUAUGACAAAAACUUUGAAACUUUUUUGGUGUUUUUAAUCUUUGAAACUAAAGUUGAUAAUUUAGGUGUUUUCAUGACAACCACCGUAUUUUGAGUGAUUUUCAUAUUUCCAUAAAUAUGAAAAUACAUAAGUGAUUCAAAGUAAUCAUAGGGUUAAAUAAGAAUAUGAUUAAAUUUAGUGUUUAAUAGUGUGAAAUACUCUUGAAAUCUACUAGAAUUUAUUUCAGGACUAAAUGAGGAGGGUUAAAGUUAUUGUUAGGACUAAAUGACGUAUAAAAUAGAUUCAGCUUUUGUGCCUGAAUUAAGGUUAUUUUCUUACGUGUUAUUGGGCCUAUAGUAAAACUGAAAUUAAUUUGAGGACGGCCCUAGGCCCAUUAAUUUCAUACAAGGCCCAUUGUGUAGCCCAUUUAGAGGAGAAACAAAACAAGGCAGGUUGUCCCAGAACCCUAGCGGCCCUCUCCCUCUCUUUCUUUCAUUAUCUCCUCUCUCCUUCACACGCCGUCUCUCUCGUCUACUCCCAUUUCUCUCUUUCAUCCUUGUUCUCCUUCAUUGCAUUUCAACAUAGGGUUACAUCUCCUAAUACAUCUCACAAAAUACAAACAGUAUUAUUUAUUAUCUAAUCAUUUUUUUCUCAUUCCCUAUUGUGUGCAGGGGUUUUCAAUAAAUCAAAAUAAAGCAAAAUGGUUCUAAAUGUAUCCACAUCAUCAAUUACAAAUUGGAUAGGCAGUACAUGAAAUUAUUUUUCCAAAGACAACAUCAAACAUGCACUGAAUUGAUAACAUCUUCAUUUCUUGAUUGAGACUCAAAUAAAUAUUUUUGAUCAUAACAAGAAGAUCAAGAAGGGAAAGUUUUUUUUAAUGUAAUCAAAUCAUAAUAUUCAGGUUAACAUCGAUUCACAUUGCCAAGGAAGUUAGAGGAAGGAGGAGAGACAAUGAUCAUCUUGAAAAGGCACCACAUAUGGUGCUAGGGUUUUGUCAUGACUCCUUUUUUGUAUCUUCUAUCUAGUUUUCUACCAUCAUUGGCAUCCUGAUCUUUGUUUCUUUGUUCUAGUUGGUUUGAUGACACCGAAAUCAAUGUAGAUGACUGGAAACCCUUGAGAAGGAAAUUAAAGACUUUCAGUGAUAGUUGAGGUGGGAUCCAUUUAUUGAAACUGAAUUUAAUAAGGACUUGGAUGUUCUUGCACAAGGAAUGAUACAUAGAGAACUGGGGAACAGAGGGGGAAAAAGAAAAGAAAAAUCCUCUCACACCUAGAUAAACUUUACACUUUAUAUUGUUACUAAAGUAUGUACCCUACCGCCCUCUCCCUCUUGAGAUCCGAUCUCUGCAAUGUCCGUCUAAGUCCAAAGGUUUGACUUAGUUACACAUGUGGUCAGGCGAUACUGUGGAAUGGAGACUUUUAAAGUCAACGGGCAUGCCCGGAGCUAAAACCUGGAUGACACUCGUUCAUCCCAAUCAGCUACUUCUUAAACUCGGCGAGCUCACCUACGUUGAUGGUGUCGAAUGGCUAGGAGAGGUAUGCUUGGGUUCGAGCAGAAAUGCCCUGAGCUAUGAACCUCAUGGUGGGGCGGGUCUUUGUUGGUGCAGGCUAGGGACAUCCUGACCACGAACAUGACCUCCUCUGCCAUCUGCUGUGUCAGAGGGGCCAGGUGUUGAUUAAGGACGUCCUUCAACAGAAGCGACUCGCCAUCACCAGAGGAGGAGGAUGACGACAGGAGGUGAUCAGGUUCCCCAGGUGUUUCCCUAGCAUGACCUCCAGUGCCACGAUACCAAAGCUGUACACGUCGCACUUCCCCGUCACCUUCAUUGUGAAUGCCAACUCUACAUCACAAUAAUAGGUGGAGCAAGGAUUGGUCAACAUCGAGCGUGGUGAUAGCAGAACUUAGGAUAUGUGCCGGCGACUUAGCAAGACUCUAGCAAGACAUGGUCAACAUCUUACCUAGAGCCAUGUAGCCGGAGGAGCUAACAAUGCCGGUGGUGGAAUAUGUACCCAAGCUCCACUAAUGAAGGCAAUGACGUCAGAGGAUGCCACAUCAUUUGCAGCCAUCCCACGUCGUCGCCGUCAAACCUAACUGAAGGAUCUGAAUUUCCUUUAUUACUAGGCUUAAUUUUUGCUCAUUUUGCUUGAUUUUAUUGUAGUCUUCUUUUUCAUUCCAAGGCCUAUAAAUAGGCUUAAGAAUUCCUUGAACUGGUGGCUGAUUUUGGGAUUAAGAAAGGUAUCUUUUCUAAGAAUGUGCCCUAGGGGAUCUGUGCGACCGCCGCCGCUUGUAGCCACUGCCAUCACAUGGGUCCCACCCUACUCCAAGGUCAACCUUCCCUCUCCGAAUGAACCCUCUACCAACUCUCGCGCACUCCUCUUCAUGUUGACGGCCUCCUGUCAGUUCACUGAUCGCAUGUGGUGGACUUCCUUCCGUGCACAUCUGCGAGACCUAACCAUCUUGACACAUGACGGAAUGCCCUGCAGCCGCAAACGUCCUCCACAUCAGUGUCAGGCAUCUACUGUCGAGGAACAAUUCCGCCGGAUCGUCAUCCGCACACGACGAGCUCCUCUCUACGGUGUCUGUGCGAUUCCUCACCCUGCAGCCGCGGACAUCCUCUGCCACAGCAUCAAGCGUCCGCCGUCAAGGAACGGUUCUGCCGGAUCACCGUCUACAUGUGAGGAGCUCCUCUCUACUGUGUCCGUGUGAUUCCUCGCCCCACAGCCACAGACGUCCUCCGCGACAGUGUCAAGCGUCCACCGUCGAGGGACAGUUCUGCGGAAUCGCCACCUGCACGCGACAAGCUCCUCUCCGUGGCGUCCGCACGACUCCUCACCCUGCAGCCACAGACAUCCUCCAUGAUAGCAUCAAGCAUCUGCCGUCGAGGGACGGUUCCACGGAUCACCGUUCGCAUGUGACGAGCUCCUCUCUGCAGCAUCCACACGAUUCCUUGCCCUACACCCACGGACGUCCUCUGCGUCAGCGUCAAACGUCCGCCAUUGAGGAGUGAUUCCCGCCGGGUCGCUGUCCGCAUGCGGCGAACUCCUCUCCGUGGGUGUCUGCGCGACUGCUGCCGCCUUGUUGCGACCAGAGCAUCCUGCACGUAGCGAAUGUGCCAAGACUCUUCGUCCUCCCCGACAGCCUCCAACCCUUGUCAGCUACCGUGCAUGCACUGCACACCUUGCUCCUGUCGACCACUGGAUUUGGUUUCGGGGCGCUGCCCCGAGCCCCGCAAGGGGGCGGCUUCCCCCUUGACCCCCACCCAACUGACCACACAGUUGGAUCCGUGAUGAGCCCGCUCUUCUCCAAAGUAUCCUUGACGUCAACUCCUCAACGUUCGAAUGCCUAAGGUCCACUCUUAACCCUUUCAAUGAAUGUGUGCAUUAGUUUCAUCUCAUUUUUCCUCGUUUGUGAUUCCACCGCCAUCAGGUUUAGCUGUGUGGGCUUGUGAUUAGCCGUGUGGGCUCGUGAUAAGUCGUGUGGGCUGUGUUUUCCUUAUUUAGAGACCGACUGAGAUUUUUAAACGAAGAGUUUUGAUUUAUCACGAUGAUUUGAGAUGAUCCUCCAACCCUUGACUGAGGAACGGAACAGUUUUCUCAUUGUCACGCAGCCGACUUUAAAGGUUCGAAUCUGAAUGUGUGUGAGUUUUGUGGUUUGCUAGUUAUUCAUCUCAUUUAUAACAUAUCACAUUUGUGUCAAUCAUAUUCGUCUUGCAUCAGCUGGUCCAGUUAGAGGAAUUGGUGAGGACCUUGGCAAUCUUAAAGUUGGAUAGCUAGGGAUUGAAGUCAGUUUUCAAAAGGAUGUUGCUGGUCUUGACGUCUCGAUGGGUGAUGAUAGGGAGUGGUUAUGGUGGAGAUAGGAAAGGGCGUGGGCCACCCCCUGUACCACUCAGACCUUAGCUGCCUAGUCAAACUUUUUGCCGGCGCCACCCUUCUUCCCAUACAGCACCUUCUGCAUGCUGCCCUUCUCCAAGUACUCGUAAACCAGGUUCAUGCAGCCAGAGCUCAAGCAAGAGCCGUAUAACUUGACAAUGUUCUGGUGGUGAACUUCCAUUAGUGCUCGGAUCUCAUUCUUGAAGCUCCUUGUAGAAAACAAGAUAGGAUAGGCAAGAACGGCAGUAAAAAAUUCUGAAGAAAUACAUAGUAUCAAAUCAAGAAAUCAAAUUGUUCAGCCCACAGCUUAAAAACCCUAAUGUCUCUCUACAAGCCUUUUAUAGGCACUGUUUCUUGAAGAAAUAAGGAGAGUGAUGCAGGACAAAGGGGUCAAUCCCUCGUGCCUGAUUAGUGGGGAUACGGGAUCAAGCGGGAUCAGUUCGAAGAGUAUCCUCGACCUAGGUGAAAUGCCCUGGGACCUACAUGUGGAUGCGACUACCUAGGAGCAGACGGUCCGAUGCUCAAUAGUCUCACCCGAAUCCGUCAGUUGAUAGACCGCGACGACAGUAUCAGGAACGUCCUUCCUGAGCCCACGUCCGAGUAGACGGUGGAACAAGAGGUUGGGAUGUAGUACAAGUGCUGCAGCCCACGUCCUUGGUGGCAAAUCAACACUUGCGAUGAAGAAUCACGAGUCCUAUAGCCGUUCUAGCCUAUUUAAGUUCCCGACGGCAGUGGGAGCGAAUAUCAGAAACCCUUCGAAAAAUAAUCAACUAUAACGACAGAGGGGCGAAGCUAACCUGCGGGGCAAAUUCGCCUGGUGGGUCGAGGCGGUAGUGGCGAACUAGUUCGCGUGCAAGGCCGGUGGUGGCGAACGGUGCACGAUUUCCCAGUUGGUGGGCGGCGCAAGGAGGCAGCAGGCCAUGGCGGUGGGCGGAGGCGUCAAGUGGUUCGGCGGCCACCAGCGGGGGCAGUGGCGACGGCGACGAGAAGGCUGGUAUCGACAUCGGCGGUGGAGGUCAAACGUCUUCCUCCUCCACUCUCUUCCUCUCUCUUUUUUUUCUCUAAACUAAUUCCAAGGGAUCUUCUCGAUGGCUAGGGCAACCUUUGGGGGGGUCCCACCCUUCUUAUAGGGACCCAAAUGGGCCAAGAGGGGUGAGGCCCACUUGAGGCCCAAAGCCCCUAAGCCCCUAAAAUAAAGAGGGAAAACACAAGUUUUGGGCCUGACGGAGCCCUACAAACAUCCAAGGUGGGCCCGCAAAACAUGAAAUGGGCCCGAAAGCUAAAAGAAAAGGGGAAGAAAACAAAGGGAAGGUAAAUACCAUGCGUGGUCAACCCAAUGGGCCGGCGAUGAAGAUGGUGACGUCUCAAAGUGCCUCAAGCCGUGUAACGGAAGCCCGGAUCCUUCGUCUUCGCGCGAGCCCGACGAUCCAGUUGAGUGCGUGCAGGGUUUGCCGAUGCCGGUGUCUCAUGUGAUGGAGACGGGUCCCAAUCGCCAUCAAUCCUCCUGGGGUGGGAAGAACUCGGCUCCGACGAGUGGGCAAAUGGGGACAGCAAAGGCUCCAGUAGGUCUGGUCAUAGGCGUGCCAAGUCCUCCUCCAAAAUCCACGCGUCGUCCUCCAUCGGUCGUCCCUGCCAGUGAACAAGAAAUCUCUGUGAAACUCCGCCCCCUGUAAAGUCGAUUACCUCCUGAAGAAUCUCUUCGACUUGCUCAUGCCGAUCGGGUGAUAUCAUGGGGGGGGGUGGGCUCCGAGGCAAACUCACUCUCAGCGAAUGGGCUGGUAGAUGAGGCUGCAGUGGUAGAUGAAAGAGGUGGGGCUGGGUGCGAGGCCAGAUCUGCCAUGUUGAACGUGGAGCUAAUCCCCCAGGAUGGAGGGAUGUCAACAACGUAUGCGUUCUCACCUAUUCGGGAAAGAACUCGAAACGGGCCCGCGCUAUGAGCGUGUAGCUUAGUAGCGGAGCCCGGAGCAUAACGCUCAAAACGCAACCUAACCAUCACCUGGUCUCCCGCCUGAAAGACCCGGGGUCGACGAUGUGCAUCGGCAGCCUGCUUAUAUAAUACAUUUUGACUCGAUAUCCUAUCGUGAAUAUGCUGAUGCAACUGGCUAACAUGCUGGGCAAAUGCAACACCGUCCUCAGACACUCUAACAUGUGGGUCUAGGGGCACUAAAUAAAGUGGCUUGCGGGGUGCUAAGCCAUGUGCAAUCUCGAACGGACUCAUGCUAGUAGUACGGUUAGUCGAUGUGUUGUAGGCGAACUCUGCUCUCGAUAUGAUCAAGUCCCAUGUCGUCAAGUGCUCUCCAACUAAGGAUCUCAAUAGAUUCCCUAAACUCCUAUUGACAACCUCGGUCUGUCCAUCCGUCUGCAGGUGAUAAGCAGUUGAGAAUUUAAGCUUCGUCCCUAGUAAUCUCCAUAAGGAUCUCCAGAAGUGAUUGGUAAAACGAACAUCACGAUUCAAUAUGAUGGACUUAGGCAGUCCAUGCAGGCGCACUAUCUCUCGAAAAUAAAGACCUGCGAUCUUGGAGGCGUCGGAGGUUUUUGAACAUGGUAUGAAGUGUACCAUUUUUGAAAACCUAUCGACCACAACCAUGAUCGAGUCAUGACGUCAUGCAGUGCGGGGUAGUCCAAAGACAAAGUCCAUGCUGACAUCAUCCCAAGGACGAGAUGGUACCGGAAGGGGUGUAUAAAGUCCAACAUUCUUCUUGACCUGUUUGGCAAGUGCACAUACUCGACACUGAGCCACGAUGUUUCCUACAUCGCGCUUCAAGCCAGGCCAGUAGAAUUGUAGCUCUACGGCAUCAAUGGUCUUGUCUCGGCUGAAGUGACCGGCAAGACCUCCUGCGUGACACUCCCAAGUGAAGAAGUCAUGGAGAGAAGUGCGGGGUACGCACAACCUGUUCCUAAAGAAUAGGUAACCAUCUACCAUAAGGAAGUUCUUAUGCUCGGGUGUUGGGCCAACCUCAAGGGCGUGGACAAUGGGGCCGAAGUCGGGGCAAUCACCGUAUGAGUCCCUGACGGUCUCAAAUCCCGUGACCUGAACCUUAACUAGGUUCAGUAAAUGCACUUGUCUACUCAAUGCGUCAGCUACCACAUUCUCCUUGCCCUUCUUGUGGUGAAUGACAAAAGUGAAGUCCUGAAGGUAUUGGAUCCAGCGGGCGUGUCUGUCAUUGAGCUUCUGCUGGGAAUGCAAGUACUUCAGGGCCUCUGGUCAGAAAAGAGCACAAACUCCUUUGAUAGGAGAUAAUGUCGCCAGUGCUUCAAAGCCUGAAUGACGGCAUAGAACUCCCGGUCGUAGGUCGAGUAGCGGAGUCUAACGUCAUUCAGCUUCUCGCUGAAGUACUCGAUAGGAUGCCCUUCCUGGCUAAGGACACCCCCAAUGCCAACGCCCGAUGCGUCGUAGGCUACCUCGAACACCUUGCUGAAAUCAGGCAAUCGCAAGAUGGGUGCUUGAGUGAUGAGGACUUUCACUCGCUCGAAAGCCUCCUCGGCUGACUCGGUCCACAAGAAGGUAUCCCUCUUGAGAUAGUCAGUAAUGGGUGCCGUGACGGAGCUAAAAUUCCGUAUGAAACGACGGUAGAAGGUCGCAAGACCAAUGAAGCUCCUGAUGUCAUGCAUGCUAGCUGGUCGCGGCCAAGACACUAUCGUGCGGACCUUUUCGGGGUCCGCGAAAACUCCCUAAGCGGAGACGUUAAAGCCAAGGAAGGUAACCUCCGGCAUGAAGAAGCUACACUUCUUCGGGUGAGCAUAGAGCUUCUCCCUCCGAAGUGCUGUGAAUACCUGGCGUCGAUGCUCAAAAUGAGUGUCACGGGCACUGCUAUAAAUGAGUAUGUUGUCGAAGUAGAUGACUACAAAUCUCCCUAUGAACGGGCGUAAGACCUCAUUCAUAAGCCUCUGAAAUGUGCUCGGUGCAUUGGAGAGUCCAAAGGGCAUGACUCUCCACUCGUAAAGUCCAUCCUUUAUCUUAAAGGCAGUCUUCCACUCGUCCCCAGGACAAAUCCGAACCUGAUGAUAGCCACUCCGUAGAUCUAUCUUGGAGAAGAUAGUGGCUCCGGCCAUCAUGUCGAAUAGGUUCUGUAGGCGCGGGAUCGGAAAACGGUAUUUAACCAUAAUCCUAUUGAUCGCACGGCUGUCACAACACAUAUGCCAUGAUCCAUCCUUCUUCGGUGCCAGUAGGGCCGGUACAGCACAAGGACUAAGGCUCUCCUGAAUAAGGCCCUUGUCCAACAGCUCCUGUACCUGUUGGCUAAGCUCUUCGUACUUAGCCGGAUCCAAGCGAUAGUGCGGAAGAUUCGGCAACGUGACUCCUAGCACUAAGUCUAUAGCAUGUUGAAUAUGCUGCAGCGGUGGCAGCUCUCCUGGUAACUCAACGGGGAGGACAUCGGCGAACUCCUGCAUAAUCUCCUCAAUCUCCGGGGUCGAUGGUGGGGGCGUCGUGCGAUUGCAGGUGUCUAAUGUCAAAGUGAAACAGGUGGGGGUAUUGUCGAUCUCCCUUGCUAACUCUUGUUGGAACGUGGGCCCUCGUAGUAGCAUCAACCCAACACGGGGUUUAGGCUUGCGCUUAUCCACGGAUCGUUGUAGCUGGGGAUACCAUAUAAGUCGACGGUCGAGGUACAUGAAAGAGCAGGUGUUAGCCCUUCCCAUGAGUUGGACAUCAUAGUCAUAUAGCCAGGGACGUCCUAGAAUAAUACCUCCGAUUUUCAUCAGAAGUAUGUCGCACAAGACAUGCUCGCUGUAGGUGCUCACUGUGAGUGACACCUGGUAUUGAAAUCGCACCGGAAGUGUGGUAGCGUCUAUCCAAGAGAUGUCAUACGGAGUUGGGUGUCUGAUCGUAGUCAACCCCGUCCGCUGAAUAACUGCAUCUGAUAUGGUGUUGACGCAACUACCACUAUCCACGAUCAUCUUGCACGGCUGACCAUUGAUCUUUACAUAAGUGUAAAAGAUCGAGGUGCGGCGUGGGUCCUCCGUUGAAGAUGAUGAACAUGAUUCGGUACACGUAGUCCUCUCCUUCGGCGUCGUGGCUGUCCGGGGUGCUGGAGAUGGUGCGGCUGAAGGUAGCACUUGGGAAGUCGGGACGGCAGGUGCUGGUGCAAUAGGGCUGACCUUAGGAGUCCUAGGGACAGCAAUGUUGACCAAGCUCCUGGCAGGCGCACUCGGUGGGAUAGCCGAAGGGGAUGGAGCCGAUGUGGCCAGUGUGACGUGGGCUGGUGUGAUCUGAAUAUAUCCAAUCAGGUCGGGUGAAUCCUCGCACUCCUUAACUAGACCCUCAUCUGGAAUAUAGAUGUCAUCAUCCGGCGGUGUACCCUCAUCGUGUGUGCUCGGAUCUGUGUCGUCAACCUCGAUGAGGAGGUUGACGGACGGACACUAACUAAUGCGGUGCCCUAUGCCCUUGCACCUAAAGCAGACCACGUUGCUCUGAGAAACAACGGGUGGCCAGACACUCGAGUCCGCGGUGGGGGCUGGUCGUGGCUGUGGUGCAGAGCUGACUGAUGUCGCUGGGGUAGGUCGUCCGCUCCUUGUGCUGGGUCGUGCCUGGACGGUCGAUGCAGUGCUGGUCUGUCGCUGGACGAAGGUCCUCGUAGUCUGCUAAGACGGUGUAGCCAUCUUCGUAGCCUGCAGUGCUGGAGUGCUGAUAUCCUCUCCAAGGCGUUCCAUGUGCUCGACGAUGCGAUAGGCCUCAUCAACUUUGGAAGGGUUGGUUUUAAGAACCUCAUUUCAAAGUCGUGGGAUAAGUCUGUGCAUAAAAAGGCCCAUCACUACGCGAGGGUCCUCAACGAAGCGACACCUCAUGCGGCAUUCCUCGAAUGCCUGAAUGUACUCCCUAACUAACUGCUUGCCCUGGCAGAGGUCAAGCCAACUGAGGAACAAGGUGGACUCAUACUGUCGAGGAACAUACUUGUUCCUCAACUUCUGGACCAUGUCUGUCCACGUCAUGAUAGGCUGGCCUCGUCGGAGGGCAGCAUAACUCUCAUUCUCCCAAAAGAUCUUGGCCUGCCCGCCAAGUCGCAUCUCAGCAUACUCCAUGCAUAGGUCGUCCUCCAUGCGAUACCAUCUAAAAUAGGAGCUCAUGCUAGACUCCCAAUCAAUAAAGUCUUUGGGUUCGCGGGAACAGUCAAAGACUGCAACAUUGGCACGCACACUUUUCAGUAUGCAUGUACGAUGGUCGUCACGUCUGCGCUCGCGGUCAUCUCGGCGAUCGUCUCUGUGGUUGUCAUCGAACUCCGGGCGGUAGGGACUAGGGUAGUGCCUACGAUCGUCAGCACGAUUGUAGCAGGUGUCUAGCGGGGCACGGUAGUCGUUGCGUGCCCGCGGAUAGUGGCAAUGCAACUCAUCGCGACCAUACGCUCGACAGUCAUCUCGCCGGUCGAGAUCAGCUCGACAGGGAGGGUCGUCUCGGGCCCCCAAGUAGUCUCUAUCCUCGUAUGCUCGGUCAUGUCCAUAGGGUCGACGGUCGUCAAAGUCUCUAGGUGGAGGUGCAGGUCGACGUGGUGGAUCAUCUCGUCUGUCUAGGUAAUCCCGAAUAUGAUGGUCAUAAGGACUCACAGGGCUACGGUCGUCCUCUCGAUCGUAGUCAUCCUCGUGACGUCACGGGUUGCGGGGAAUCAGCUCUUCCUGAUUAUAGCCAUAAUUGGGGUAACGGUGGUCGUACGGACCACCUCGAGGUGCUAUGGGUUGUCGGGGCUAGUAGUCUGGCAUGGCCUGCGGUACUGGCGCUGGUACUGGAUGAGCGGCGACCGGUGGCACUGCACACUGGUACGAUGGGAUGUACGGCGGUACGUUCGGCUGGGCGAUUGGUGGGGCGACCGGCAAAGCGGUCUGAUGGACAGUCGGCGGGGCGACUGGUGAAGCCGCUGCUGCAUAGCUGCUCGUUCUAGAUGAUCAACGGCUGCAUUCACACUGCAUAUGAACUCCAUCGGUGCGGUACGGGAUUCCUCUCGCUGGGGUUGACGGGGUGUCAAUGCCCAACGGCCACCUCUACUUCGUCCUCUAGUAUACCUAGUCUCGUGGGGAUGUGCUGGCUCCUUACCUGGCCGCUACAUCGGCGGGGCAGGUGGAUGGUGUCCUCCGCGUGUAGAUCUGCCUCCAGUGGAGCAAGAGCUCGAUGGCUCUCCAAGCUGAGGCUGCGGUGGUGGUGUCCGGUCUGGACGCAGAGAAGAGGGGAGACCCUCAUCUCUUUCUCCAGAUUGCAGUGUCUCUAGGUCUCUCGCAGCCUAGGAUUGGUGGGACGCUGGCAACUGUCCUCGUACUCUGGUAGAGCGUGUCUCGACUACCAUGGCUCGGUACUCCGGGGUGCCUAGAUGCAAAUGAUGUCCCUAACCGUGGUAUGAUGCAAUGUCUCGAUCGGAUCGGUGGAUCUCAAGAGAGUAGCACAACCUGGCUCUGAUACCAAUUUGAUGCAGGACAAAGGGGUCAACCCCUCGUGCCUGAUCAGUGGGGAUAUGGGAUCAAGCGGGAUCAGUUCGGAGAGUAUCCUCGACUUAUGUGAAAUGCCCUGGGACCUACGUGUGGAUGCGACUACGUAGGAGCAGACGGUCCGAUGCUCAAUAGUCUCACCCGAAUCCGUCAGUUGACAGACCGUGACGACAAUAUCGGGGACGUCCUUCCCGAGCCCACGUUCAAGGUAGAUGGCGGAACAAGAGGUUGGGAUGUAGCACAAGUGCUGCAGCCCACGUCCUCGGUGGCGAAUCGACACUCGCGAUGAGGAAUCACGAGUCCUAUAGCCGUUCUAGCCUAUCUAAGUUCCCGACGGCAGUGGGAGUGAAUAUCGGAAGCCCUUCGAAAAAUAAUCAACUAUAACGACGGAGGGGCGAAGCUAACCUGCAGGGCAAAUUCGCCCGGUGGGUCGAGGCGGUAGCAGCGAACUAGUUCGCGUGCAAGGCCGGUGGUGGUGAACGGUGCGUGAUUUCCCAGUUGGUAGGCGGCGCAAAGAGGCAGCAGGCCACGGCAUUGGGUGGAGGCGUCAAGUGGUGGCGGCAGCCACUAGCGGGGGCAGCGGCGAUGGUGACAGGAAGGCCGGUAUCGACAUCGGCGGUGGAGGUCAAACGUCUUCCUCCUCCACUCUCUUCCUCUCUCUUUUUUUUCUCUAAACUAAUUCCAAGGGAUCUUCUUCUCGAAUGAUGGCUAGGGCAACCUUUGGGGGGUCCCACCCUUCUUAUAGGGACCCAAAUGGGUCAGGAGGGGUGAGGCCCACUUGAGGCCCAAAGCCCCUAAGCCUCUAAAAUAAAGAGGGAAAACACAAGUUUUGGGCCCAACAGAGCCCUACAAACAUCCAAGGCGGGCCCGCAAAACAUGAAAUGGGCCCGAAAGCUAAAAGAAAAGGGGAAGAAAACAAAGGGAAGGUAAAUACCAUGCGCGGUCAACCCAAUGGGCCGGCGAUGAAGAUGGUGACGUCUCAAAGUGCCUCAGGCCGUGUAACAGAAGCCUGGAUCCUUCGUCUUCGCGUGAGCCCGUCGAUCCGGUUGAGUGCGUGCAGGGUUUGCCAAUGCCGGUGUCUCAUGUGAUGGAGACGGGUCCCGAUCACCAUCAGAGAGACUCCAGUCGUCAUAACACAUGAUUGAUGGCCACGAUUAAAUCCUACAACAAUGAAGAAAAGGAAAAACCCUAAAUUGAACUAUGUGCGGUAAAUUUCCACAAAUCUCCACUUCUGUGAGCUUUAAUCCCAACAAUUUCUCCCAUAAACUCACAGGAAAUCUCCCAUGUCACAAAUUCUAGUUAUGUUUCGCAUUUCAUUGAAUCUAACAUGUCCCAAUGACUUCGUGAGAAAAUCUACUCACUACUUAUGAGUAGGAAUGCUCAACUUUAAUCUCCUCUCUUCAAUACACAUCUUGAUAUAAUGAAACUUUAUUUUGAUAUGCUUCAAUCUGCUGUGAAAAGCUGGGUUCUUUGCAAGUUCUAUUGCAAAUUUAUUAUCCACAUAAAUUUUCACGAACUUACAGUCACACUUCAUCAAUUCACCAAUCAAAUUACUGAGCCACACUACUUGACACGAAGCAAGUGUGAGUGUCACAUACUCAACUUUACAAGAAGACAAGGCAACUGUCCUCUGCUUUUGUAACAUCCAGGUAAUCACACUUCCUCCCAUGAAAAAUAGAGAUCCAAAUACUCUUGCCAUUGAUUGGAUCUCUUGCAUACUCACCAUCAGAGUAUCCAAAUAGAUGAACACCUCUCACUUUAGUGUACCUCAGUCCAUAGUCUAGUGUGCCUUUGACAUAUCUCAACACCCUCUUAACACUCUUCAUAUGCUCAACAAUUGGAUUUUCCAUAAAACGACUGAGAAAACCUAUACUAAAUAAUAAGUCUGGAUGAGUACGAGUGAGAUAUAUGAGAGAGCCAAGUAUACUUCUAUAUACAGACAGAUUCAUUGGGCUUGCACCAUCUUUCUCAAAACAAGGUCUCACUUUCAAUGGUGUUUGAGAAUAAAUUGUAGUCGAGCAUGCUGAAUUGUUUGAGAAUUUUAUUUGAGAUAGUACUAUCUUUUCAUUAGAUUGAUACUCUUGAAUUCUUAAAUAGAUCAAAAGACCCAAGUCUGACAUCUUGAACAAAGAUUUCAUCUUAUCUUUGAAGUCUUCAAUUAUCUCCAUUGUGGAUCCAGUGAUCAAUAAAUUGUCCACAUACACACCCAAUAGAAUUGUUGCUUGCUGCAAGUGCUUCAUAUACACAAUUGACUUAAAAUUGCUUAUAUUGAAAUCCAAAUAUUUGAAACUUUUGUCAAGCUUGUUAUACCACACCCUUGGUGCUUGCUUUAAGCCAUAUAAAACCUUCUUUAGUCUAUAGACUUUAUCUUCUUCUCGACUUCUAACAAGACCUUUGGGUUGCUUGACAAAAAUAGUUUUUUCAACUUUACUAUUGAGAAAUGCCAACUUGACAUCAAGAUGAUGGACACACCAUCCAUUUUGAGUUGAAAUAGCCAAUAAUAUCCAAAUAGUCUCUAUCCUUGCAACAUGCGUAAAGACUUCUUCAUAAUCUAUUCUAUUUCUAUGUGCAUAGGCCUUUACCACAAGACGAGCCUUGUGUCUAAUCACUUCUUCAUUAGAAUUCCUUUUUACUUUAAAAGCCCACUUUAACCCAAGUGGUUUGUAGUUGUUUGGGAGUGUCACAAGGGACCAUGUCCCAUUCCUCUCAAUUGAACAAAAUUCUUCAAUCAUUGCCUUCUUCUAGACAUUAUCUUCCAAUGUCUCUUUCAUUGACUGUGGCUCUUUUUCAGUAAAAUUGCACACCUCAUCAUCAGGUAAGUCAACUUGUUGUGUCUCAGCAUAUUACUCAUUUAUAUUUUUAAAUCUCCUUACACUAUCAUUAGAGGGUACAAGUUGACUUCCAAAUGUCUCACUUGCUUCAGCAUAUACUCUUGCAGAGCUUCUACUGAAUUGACUAAGUCAACACUAUAGUCAAACAAAAAAUCAAGAGUAUUAACCAGAUUUGAGAAAACAGCUGGUAAAAUUUCCUAAUUCCAACUCUUAUCUUCUUCAAAAAUUGCAUCUCGAGUCACAUAAAUCUUCCCAUUGACUGGGUCAAAGACCCUAUGGCUUUUUGAUCCCUUCUCAUAGCCGACAUGGAUCAUAGCUUUACUUCGAUCAUCCAACUUUUUCAGGCUUCCAUCAGUCACUUUGAUAUACACAAAGCAUCCGAACACUCUAAGAUGACUUACCUUCGGCUUGCUCCCUAUCCAAGCUUCAUAAGAUAUCAUCUCUUUAAGGCUUCUAGUUGUGGCUCUGAUAACUUGUGAAAAUUACAUAUUAAUGUGUUACUAAAUCAAGGAAAAUAAUACAUAUUUGAGAAUUAUUUCACAAGUUAUCAUGUUAAUUAUUUUGCUUGUCAUUUUGAUAAACCUCCUUAAAUCUUGAUUUAAAUUGAUAUUUUAUGAAUAAAAAGAAAAUUAAUGAAAAUUUAUUUCAUAUGCUGAAGCUUAAUUCUCAUUUAGUUUAUUUUGAAAUAAAAUGAUAUUGUGUUAAAUUUUUAUGAUUAACUGAAAGAUAUUUUUUGGAAUUUUUUUGGAAUUUUUAGGCAUUAAAAUAAAUGAAAUAAUAAAAAGAUAAAAUGGGCACACCGUUAGCAGGCUAGAGACACACCGCUUAAUGGGCCUAACAUGGGCCGGAGGCCACACCACGUCUAGGAGUGAGCCCAAGGGGCACACCACCUCGCGACCCGUGUAGACCAGGUUGCGGCUUUGAUUCAUGGGUUCGGGUUAGAUAGAUCACCUCCAAGGCCUACUUGGAGCCGAGUCUCAAUCUAGAUCAUUAAUGGGCACUGAUAGUUAGGUCCGAUCAACCCUUUAGGAGGUGCAUGUAAUGAAUGGGAGACGCUGAUAGUUAUAUAGAUUGUGACAUUCAUGAUAUUUCCGAUAUGAGACUAAACGGUGGUUCUUACCCUUUUCAGAUCUGAUGGCAGAGCAGUGGCUAUGGCAAAGAUCUAAUGAUCUUGAAGUCAUCACAUCACCACCCACCAUCGCACAAAAAGCAAUGUCAAAUCUAACAGUAGCCGCCAUCAGAUCCGACGCACUAGAAGCAACCACAUCUCCAUCCACCAGCAUGUGGUUUGGCGACCACACGGAUCCUGAUUAAGCACACGAAAAGGCAAUGAGAGCUCAAAUAGAUUUGACGACGACAGAGAGGCCACAUCAUCCCCUUUCUAAGUAAAAUGACGGCACGUGAAUCCAACAGUCUUCAUCAAGCCACGCGGCAGAGGACUUGUUGACAUGCUCUAUUAAGAAGAUAGACAACAAUAUUCACUACUUCUCCCCACAGUUCUCUUGGCAAAGAAUGUGUCUUCAGCAUGGACCUCACCAUUUCCACAACCGUUCGGUUUCUCCUUUUUACAACUCCAUUGUGUUGAGGAGUGUAGGGAACAGAAAAUUGCCUUCGUAGACCAUUUUCAUCAUAAAAUUUAGUGAAUUCAAGUGAAUUGAACUCACCUCCUUAGUUUGUCCUUAGACUCUCAAUUCUUUGAGAUUUCUCAGCCUCCACCAUGACUUUAAAUCUCUUGAAGCUGUCAAAUGCUUUUGACUUCUUCUUCAGAGAUCUUAGGCUCAAUUGGACCACAUAGAUCCCCAUGGAUCAAUUCAAGAGCUCUAGAGGCUCUUAAUGUGGUUAAUUUUGGAAGGGAUACUCUAGUUUGCUUUGAAGCAACGUAUUCUAUGCACAGAUCAUCAACUUUUUCGAAAAUAAGUAAUCCCCUUACCAUGCUCUUUGUAGAAAGCAACUAAAGAGAGUUGAAAUUAAGAUAGCCAUACCUUCUAUGCCAUAACCAUGUGACAUCUUUCGAAAUAUGCAAACAUCUCUCGAGAAUACCCAACCUCAAUAGAUAUAAGCACCCUUAAUUUCUUUGCACUCUUGUAAUCAGCCGAUCUUUAGAGUUAUGAAUUGUUAAUAAUCCACUUUCAAGAUGAAUCUUAAACCCUUGCUCAUCUAAUCUCCCCAAACUCAAAAUGUUAGCAUAGAGAUUAGGGGUAAAUAAAACAUUAGUAAGUGAAAUUGAGGAUCUAUUGAGGGAAUUUAACAUGAUCUUUCCCUUUCCAUCAAUGGAGAUUCUCGAAUUAUCCCCAAACCUCACUUUACCUUUGUAUGAUUCAUCAAGUUCACAAAAUAAUUCUCUCUGACUUGUCAUAUAAGAGCUUACACCAGUAUCUAAAUACCACAGGCCUUCUUGCAGCUCUGAUUGUGAAAUUCCUUGCAUGAGAAUUUCCAGUGAUUCUUCUUCAAUUGCCAUAAGUAAUAGAACUUGUUUCAAAUCUUCAUUAGCUAGAUUUGCUUUGUCAUUAGUUGGCUUCUUAUCUGUCUUCUUCUUUGGAUUUCUGCAUUCAUUUGAAUAGUGUCCCAUACCUUGGCAAUUGUAGCAUUGAACCUUCGAUUUAUCAUACUUUCAUUCCUCUUCUCCUUCAUUCUCCUUUUGAAACCCCCUUGAUCUGCCUUUACCAUGUCUUCUGCCACGACGUCUGCCACAACCUCUCCCUCUCCCUCUUGAGCUUUCAGAAUCUUGCUUCUUGACCUUACCAGGUGCUCUAGCCAAGAGAGCCUUCUCUUCUCUCUUCACUGACCUUUCUUGAAGUUUAUCCUUGUGAGCUUUCAAUGCCAAGAACACUUCAUCCAAGGUAAAUGAAUUCAAAUCCUGAAAUUGCUCAAUGGAUGUGGUGAUUGCAUCAAAUUUGCUAGAAAUCGAACAUAAGAGUUUAACCACAAACUUCUGCAUUGGAAACCUUUUCACCAAGGCCUUUCAAUUCAACCACAAUCUUGGAAAGUUUGCCUAAAUAAUUUAAGAUUACCUUGUCAUUCUCCAUGGUGAGAUUCUCAUAAUCUCACUUCAAUGAUUGAACUUUGGCUGUCAUUAGGUGUGAAACUCCUUCACUCUUCAUCUUUAGGACAUUUCACAUUUGUUUGGCAAUUCUUUUGGGGUCUAGUUCAUCUAUGAUCUCGUCUGAGAUUGUGCUGAAUAAAAUUGACAUUACCUUCUGAUCUUUCUUCUUCAGAGUGUCAUCAUUCUCGAUUACAUCCCACAACAUCAAGCCUUCGAGAUGUAGUCUCAUCCUUAUCGCCCAAGCUUUGUAGUUAACUCUAAAAAGCAUUGGGAAUGCCCCAAUGUGCAUUAGAUGUGACAUUAAUCUUGAUUCCAUCGCAUGCUCUUGCGUUGAUGUCUCUCUAUGCUUUGGCGACAUCCUCACAUGUAGAUCUACCUAUGCAAGGCUUUGAUAUCAAAUGUAGAAAACAAGAUAGGAUAGGCAAGAACAACAAUAAAAAAUUCUGAAGAAAUGCACAAUAUCAAAUCAAGAAAUCAAAUUGUUCAGCCCACAAUAGAGAGGAAGAAAAGAUGAAUGAAACCCCCCUCUUAAAAACCUUAAUGUCUCUAUGCAAGCCUUUUAUAGGCAUAGUUUCUUGAAGUAAGAGGGAGAGACUCCAGCCGUCAUAACAUGCACGAUCGAUGACCAUGAUUAAAUCCUACAACAAUGAAGAAAAGGAAAAACCCUAAAUUGAGCUAUGUGCGGUAAAUUUCUACAAAUCUCCACUUUUACAAGUUUUAAUCCCAACAAUCCUGAGGCUGGCCUUGGGGAUAUCUAAAAAGUCUGUCAAGUUGAUACAUUUCAUGGUGAUGGCGUGCCCUGUGGAGAGCUUCACCUGGUAGAUGGUGCCGAAUCCACCCUUUCCUAUGCAUAAGGCCUUGGCGAAGUUGUCGGUGGCAUUGAUGAUGUUGAGGAAGCUGAACUUCCACUCCCUCCCCCAUAUGAUUGACUUGAAGUUCUCUUAGUGGUGGCUGACCACCUCAAGGACAUUUCGCCGUUGCUUAUGGCAGGAGGAGAAGAUCACUGCGGCAAAGACGACAACAACAAUUGUGAAAAUUAGAUAGAAGAGAAGUGAAGAGAAGAAAGGAGAAUGAGGAGAACAGAUUAUGAACACAAGAAAGAAAGAGUUUUAUUCAAGAAUCAAUCAAGAACUACAUACUAACAUGAUCUAUACAUAUAGAUCUUCUUUUCAAAAGAAUGGAGUUCUUUAAGUAACCGUUCCUUCUUAUUGACGUGCUUGCCCGUUAUAUAAGGUGGGGUACGUGUCUUAAUCCUAUUUGAUGAAGGGUUAUGUGUAUUUUUAUUGGGCCAUGUCUAUGGAAAAUAUAUGGACUGAUUUUAUUUGUUCUUUAUUAAGUUAAGUCAUAUUGGUGGAGGUGAUGACCUGAUUGAGGGUCUAGGCCAAACUCGGAUAGAGUUGUGGGUGUCCAUCUUAUGCCUCUUCGACUGAUGAUCCGGUUGAAGAUCAGAGCCAAACUCAGAUGGAGUUGUGGGCCUUUGUCCUAUGUCUCUUCGACUGAUGACCUAGUUGAGGAUCUGGGCCAAACUCGAACAGAGUUGUGGGCCUCUAUCCUACACCUCUCAAGAUGAUUGUUCAUUAGUAUGGCUGAUAAGUCUUAAUUAUCAUGAGUUAAUAAUCCAGUGAUAUGAUAGUUUUUACCUUAACUCAUGAUAAAUAAACUUAUUUUUGUGCUAAAUCAUGAAAAGUGAUUUCUAGUUGGUUAAUAUGAAUUUUUGAUUAAUUACAUAAUUUUAUAAUCUUAUUUUUUUAGAUAAAUGAAAAAAAGAGUAAAAUAAAAAUAUUAAUGAGAAAAUAAAAAACCACCAGCCAAUUGGGCCGCAAGAGGGUCAGAGGCCCAAUGGAGUAGAGUCACAGGGCUACUGAGGACCCUGAGCUCAAGGCUCAAGCGACUAAGGGCGGUUUGCGAGCACAAGGCUCGAGUGGUUGUAGCAUGCGUCACUCCCUUUCCAUGUCACUAGUGGCCAACCGGGUGUGAGGCAAGGAGUGGUCAUACACAUGCAGGAGAGGAACAUGCCCAUUAGAGGAUGAUGAUCUUUUAUUUGCCUCAAAAUUGGUCAGAAAACCGAUGUGGGACUAAACCCAUAGCUCAUAACUUUCUCCCACAUGAUUAUAAAUGCCCAAAAUAUCCUUUCAUUACCAUGAUGAAAAUAGUAUUGUGACAUCACAUUAUAAUGACAUUAUCAUACUUAUUUCAUUUCUUUCUCUCGUAAGCGAGCAACUGACAAAGAAAUCAUGAUUUUCGGCAAGCGAUUAACUACUAAAAUCACCAAAAUCUCAGUAAAAACUUAGUCAACACUAUUCGCAGAGCAUUAUGACUGGAAUUUGUGAAUGAUUAUGGACAAAAUAUUGAGAACUCAACAAGAAAAUCAUUUCCGAUUGAUCGAUGAACAAGUCGUUGUCGGGAAGAGGACGAUCUAUUGGGAGACGAGUUACCACCUCUUGAGAGUGUACCAGAUAUGAUAAAGGGCCUCCUUUUAUUGCACUAACUUGAGGAUGAAGCCUUUGAGACACACCCUACCUCCAUCUAGCUUACUUUUGUUGGGUGACAGCCGCCGAAGGUCUAUAAGUCACCAUUUUUCUGUUCUACCGGGUGAUAGUUAUUAGAGAUGAUUUGAUGACACAUUCCAUUGAUUUCUAGACUUCACAAGAAGAUCUAGAGAUAUCGUCUUUGUCCAAGGAGAGCCUUCGAGGCCAUGGACAUUACACAAAUUCCUUUGUGAACAUGUAGAUUUCUGGUGAUCAUUUUUGCGAAGUCAGAAUUUUAUUUUUCUUACUUUAAACUUCAUUGUCGUUUAAAUCAAUGAUAGUUGGCACAAUUUCAAAGUUCUAUAUCCUUCUACACUAAGAUACGAUUCUCCGAGCUUUUAUAGAACUUAAUUUUACUCAUUAAUUUGAUGGUAAUCACUUAUGAAAGAAUCAUAGGGUGGAAUUAUAUUUCUGUUUGAUUCAUAUUUUUCAAGUGUUAACAUUACCUUGAUGUCAUAGCCUUACUUUCUUUUGCAUGAAUUCUUAAAUAUAUUAUAUUCAUCUUUUAGUUUAAAAAAUCAUAAAAAAUGAUAUUUGAUGUGACUUAAUUGUUGUAUAAUAAAUCACGUAAAUUUAAAAUUUAUAAAACUAGGAAAGACCAAUUCUUAAAAUUUUAAAUGUUUAUCAGAGUGAAUAAAUUAAUUAUAAAUCGAUAAAAGAUUUCAAAAAUAGUGAGAAAUUUUUAGGUCGAUUAUAGGGAUGUAAUAUAAUAUUGGGUAAUAUUUCAGAAUUUUUCUCAAAGAAUACAAUUUUUUUAUGAUUUUUUAACUGAAUGAUAAAUAUAAUAUAUUAAAUAAAUGCAAACCAGAAAUAAGGCAAUGACAUCAAGUGACGUUAGCACGUGAAGAACAUGAAUCGAGCGAAACAGAGUUCCGACCUAUGAUUCUUUCAUAAGCGAUUAUCGUCAAAUUAAUUGAUCUAAUUUAGUUCUGUAAAAACCCAAAUAAUCGUAUCUCAAGUACGAAAUAUAUUAGAUGUUGAAAUCGUGCCAAAGAUUACUAAUUUGAAUGAAAAUAAAGUUUAAAAUAAGAAAAAUAGAGUUCCGGCUUCACAGUGGCAAUCACCAGAAUUCUGCGUAUUCGGAAAAUAAAUCACGUAAUGUCCACAGCUUUGAAUGUUCUCCUUGGACAAAGAUGGUGUAGGUGAUAUCUAAAACUUCUUUUGAAGCUCAAAAAUCAGUGGAAUGGGUUGCCAAAUCAUUUUUGGUGGCUGUCACUUGACAGAACAGAAAUACGGUGAUUUGUAGUCCUUCGGCGACUGUCACUCGACAGAGGUGUGCUGGAUGGAGGUGGGGCGCGUCUUAGGGGCUUCAUCCUCAAGUCAGCGCAGCAAGAGGAGGCCCUUUAUUGCAUUUGGUAUGCUCUCAAGAGGUGGCGACUUGUUUCUUGGCGGAUUGUCCUCUUCUUGGUGAUGGCUUGUUGUCAAUCAAGCGGAGAUGAUUUCUUCAUUGAGUUCGUGAUGUUUUAUCCAAAAUCUUACACCAAUUUUAGCUACGAUGCUCCAUGAAUCCUGUUGACUAAGUUUUUGCUGAAUUUUUGGUGAUUUUUUUAGCUUAAUCGCUCACCGGAAAUCGUGAUUUCUUCGCCAGUUGUCUGCCUGUGAGAGAGAGAAAGAGGGAGAGAUGAAAUAAGUACUAAAAUGUCCUCACUAUAUGAUAUCAUAAGCAUCAUUUUAUAAUGGUCAUUGAGAGGCAUUGUUGGCAUUGAGAAAAUAUGCAGGAAAAAGUUAAGGCUCCGGGUUUAGUCCCACAUCAGUUUUCUAGGCGAUUUUCACGUGCAUAUAAUAUGACCGCUUCUUUAGCCAUCAAUAGGUACAAAAUCAUCGGCAUUUGUACGAACACUCCUUGCCCCACGCCCGGCUGGCCAUCGGUGACGUGGAAGGGGAGUGACACACACGUUAGCCACUUGAGCACCUAGCUCGUGGUCUGCGUCACCAGCCGCUUGAGCCUCGAGCUCACGGUCUGGUCCUUAGCCCCUUAGCAGCCCUGCCCGACUGAGCCUCCAACUCGCUAUUGAGCCCGACUGGCUAGCGGAUUUUUUUCUUUUUCCUGAAAUCUUUUCUUUUUCAUUUAUCUCAACAAAAUAAGAUUAUAAAAUCAUAUAAUUAAUCAAAAAUUCAUAUUAAUCAACUAGAAACCAUUUUUCAUGAUUUAGCACAAAAAUAAGUCUAUUUAUCAUGAGUUAAGACUAAAAACAUCAUCUUACUAAAUUAUUAACUCAUGAUAAUGAAGACUUAUCAAUAUUCUUUUAGAAAAAUUCUGAAAUAUUAUCUGUAUUAUAUGAACUAGUUCUCUUUUGAAGGAACUUCAUCUAUGUCUAUCAACCAUUCUCAUACUAUGGUGUGACAACAUUCGCACUACAUAUCAUGUCACCAACCUUUUAUUGCACGCUUGCACAAAACAUAAAAAUAGACUACCAUUUUGUGAGAGAGGUCAACACUAACAAGGUCAAAAUUAGAUCUCUCCACAAGAGAUCAAAUUACCAAUAUCUUCACCAAGCCACUAUCCAAGCAUUUGUUUCUCUCUUUAAAAUUCAAGGUCGAUGUUCUUACCCCAAUGAGCUUGUAAGGGAGUAUUAAAGUUAACAAAGCCUAGAAAGAAAAGCUAUGUGAACUAGUUCAGUCAUCAGCUCAAAUCAACAAAACUAAAUUGGCUAAUAAAACAUAGAAAAUCAACAUGCAUAAUAUAUCAUCAACUAUCAGUUCAGCCUUAUAAAUUAGAACCAACUAGCAUAUUAAAAUGGCCAUGUCAACAAAAGUAACUACUACCUCUAUAUAUAUAUAUAUACACACACACACACACAAUCACGAUGUAUUGACGACACCUUUUGUAAAACAUAACAAAUUCACACAUAGUAUCAUUCUCUAUCUUGGCAUUUGUCUCUUCUCCUCUACCUUGUUUCUCCCUUCUAUCUCACAGAUUUCUACACUUGCUCGGUAGAUGGUGUAGAAUCCCCCCUUGCCAAUGUAGAAGGUAUCUGGAAAGUUGAUGGUGGUGUGAGAGAUGUCGAGGAAGCUGAACUUGUCAUCUCUCUCCCAUGCGACUGACUUGAAGUUUUACUCACUAUGGCUGAUGCCUCGAGGACAUUCUUCCGUUUCAUACAAUGGCAGAAGAACUUCACUAUGACAAUGAUGAUGAAUAUACCAAUGAUAGCAACGAGUUCACCAAGAAUAUAACCAAUCUGGUAGUUUACAUCAUGGGUAGACUCAUCGGAAUUAGUGGGCAUGCCUCCCAUGAAACUCAUGGCAGGGGCACUCCAGAAGACGUUCUAGCUCAGAACAUGGCAGGGAAGGAGGAAUUUGUGAACAUGGUAGGGAAGGAGGAAAAGAGAAGGGGAACCCUUAAAAGGGUGAGAAACACUGGGCAUAUGGAAUUCAACCCCAUGGGGCCCUCUAAGUUGACUUGUACAUUUUCUUCGAACGGUAGUUUAUUUCCCUUAAGAGUUGUCCAUGUCAAUGUGAAAUCCACUACGUUUCAACAAGGAAUGUCGUACUAAAUAAAUGAAUCCAUUAGAUUUGGUUUGAAAUACUUACCAAAUGUGGGCUUUGUCAGACCUUUGGGAGGGCUUUUCCAAGGUCUUACAAUAAAUUGAAGGAAUUCAAGGUUUCCUUGCAAUAUUUAAGCAAAAGUCAGUGGGGCUUCAAACUAGUGAACCUCAUUUCUAUACUUGUAAUGUGUGACCCAUGUUGAUGGACUUUUGACCGUCGUUUUGUCUGAGACAUGUUCAAGUAACCUAGGUCCGAUUUGGAGGAUCACAGUAGAUUGUGGUGGCGGCACGACAAUGUUUGCUAUUUCUUCAAAUAGCCCCUUGUUUACAUCUGUCAAUUCUUAAAAUAUGAUCCAAUCAAAGCAACUGUCAGCACGUAGCACAUAGAAAAAAGAUACUUCACAACUUGGAUGCAAUUGUGGUCACAAAAAUCAUCAUAAUUUGUCAAGACAUCUCCACCAUGUAGAAUGCCAUCCAUUCUUCUCAUAAAAGGCCAUAAUUNNNNNNNNNNNNNNNNNNNNCAUUAUGGCCUUUUAUGGGAAGAAUGGAUGGCAUUCUACAUGGUGGAGAUGUCUUGACAAAUUAUGAUGAUUUUCGUGACCACGAUUACAUCCAAGUUGUCAAGUAUCUUUUUUCUAUGUGCUAUGUGCUAACAGUUGAUUUGAUUGGAUCAUAUUCUAAGAAUUGACAGAUGUAAACAAGGGGCUAUUUGAAGAAAUAGCAAACAUUGUCGUGCCACCACCACAAUCUGCUAUGAUCGUGCAAAUCGGACUCAGGUUACGUGAACGUGUCUCAGACAAAACGACGGUCAAAAGUCUGUCGACAUGGGUCACACAUUACAAGUAUAGAAAUGAGGUUCACUAGUUCAAAGCCCCGCUGACUUUUGCUUAAAUAUUUUAAGGAAACCUUGAAUUCCUUCAAUUUAUUGUAAGACCCUGGAAAAGCUCCCUUAAAGGUCUAACAAAGUCCACAUUUGGCAAGUAUUUCAAACCAAAUCUAAUGGAUUCAUUUAUUUAGUACAACGACAUUCCUUGUCGAAGCGUAGUGGAUUUCACAUUGACAUGGACAACUUUUAAGGGAAAUAAACUACCGUUUGAAGAAAAUGUACAAGUCAACUUAGAGGGCCCCAUGGGGUUGAAUUCUAUAUGCCCAAUGUUUCUCACCCAUUUAAGGGUUCCCCUUCUCCUAUCCUCCUUCCCUACCAUGUUCCUAGAUUCCUCCUUUCCUGCCAUAUUCCUAGCUAGAACGUCUUCUAGAGUGCCCCUACCAUGAGUUUCAUAGGAACCUUCCCCAAUCGUGACCAUGACCCCUUGAUGCAGCCGUCUAUAUUGGUGGUUGCAUUGUUGGUUUGGUUAUUCUCUUCAUCAUCAUCGCUAUAGUGAGGUGCUUUUAUCGCUGCUGUAUGCAACGGCAUAAUGUCCUCGAGGCAUCGGCCACAAUGAGUAGGACUUCAAGUCAACAACAUGGGAGAGGGAUGACAAGUUUAACUUCCUCAACAUUGCUCAUGCCACCAACAACUUUGCCGAUGCCUUCUACAUCAGCAAAGGAGGAUUCUGCACCAUCUACCUAACAAGCAUAGAAAUCUGUGAGAUAGAAGGGAGAACCAAGGUAGAGGAGAAGAGGAAACAACAAGAUAGAGGGGGAUAUCAAGUGUGAAUUUGUUAUGUUUUAAAAAAGGGUGUCCUCAAUGCAUCAUGAUUAUGUGUGUGUGUGUGUGUGUAUCUAUAUAUAUAUAUAUAUAUAUAUAUAUAUAUAUAGAUGUAUAUAUAUAUAUGGACCAGGUGAGUAGGGAUGCAGCUCCAUGGACUACUAUAUAUAUAUGUAUUAGUUGUUUUUUUUUACAUAGCCAUUUUAAUAUGCUAGUCGGUUCUAAUUUGUAAGGCUGAAGUAAUAGUUGAUGAUGUAUUAUAUAUGUUGAUCUUUUGUAUUUUAUUAGCCAAUUUAGUUCUAUUGAUUUGAGUUGGUGAUUGAACCAGUUCACAUAACUUUUCUUUUGAGCCUUCAUUAGCUUUACUACUCCCUUACAGGCUCAUGGCUGGAAGAACAUUGACCUUAGAUUUCAAAGAGAAACAAAUGCUUGGAUGGUGACUUGGUGAGUAUAUCAGAAAUUUAAUCUUUUUGAAGAGAUCUAAUUUUGACCUAGUUAGUGUUGACCUAUUCUUGCACAAAAUGGUAGCCUAUUUCUAUGUUUUGUGCAAGCAUGUAAUAAAAGAUUGGUGACAAGAUAUGUAGUUCUAAUGUUGUCACACCAUAGUACCAAAAUGGUUGAUAAAGAGAGAUGAAGUUCCUUCAAAAGACACUUGAUCCAUAUUAAUUCGACUGUAGCAUUAGCAAUAACUUUAUAUUCUACUUAUGUACUUGAUUUGGCGAUAGUAGGUUAUUUUCUAGAACUCUAAAAUAUGAAAUUUUGUCCUAGAUAGACUAAAUAUCCUCCCAUGGAUCUUUGAUCAAUAAGAGAAUUAACUCAAUCUAUUAGUUUUAGGCCACUGAAGAUCAAGAAGCGAGGGUUGAAUUGAUUCACCUUUUCUUUUCUUUGAAUGAUUUCUCUUUGUGAUCCUUUUGUCACUUUCCUAAUGGGCUGAUCCUUAAGGGGUUGUGAUCAUGGACAUACUAUUUUUAUAAUGGUUUGGUAUCAACCUACAUCCACUAUCUAAGGAUACUCCAUAUCCUUGGGUUAUACUAGUUGAUUGUUCAGAUGACAACCAUUAAUUUCACGGGCUCAAUUCAUCCUUCUUCUAGAUUCACUACUCUAUAAGGCCUUAAAUUGUUCUUUUUACAGGACAACUCCCCAAGUGAUCAAAAAAUAAUCAUUGAUUUAAACCCACAACUAUAUAAAACUAUAUCACCGUGGGUAUAUCUAGAAGGUAAAUGUUGAGUGUUUUAGAUUGUUGCAAUAGUAGAAGAUGAAUGUUUAGAAGGUUGAACCUUUGUCAUCUUGUUACUUCUAUAUGUUGGCAUUGAAACUUGAAAACUUGUUGUUAAGUUCAGCUCAAGGAUGAAGAAUAUCUUGAAUAUGUUUGAGUUAAUACUUAUUCUUUUAAUGUGCAGCUAGUAGAACAAUCAUCUCUCAUCCUCUUGAAUGUACUACAUGAAGAUCAUUAAAUAGAGGAAGAAUGUAUGAAAGAAUAAAUAUGCUUGUUGAGGAUUAAUUCUUCAUGUUGGAGAGUAGUAGUAUUUAUAGAUAAAUUACAUAUAAAUUGUUCACUAAUUUUGUAGGAUCUCUAAUGACUAGAUUAAAUUCAAAGCUUACAUAAAUCUAAUACGAUGUCCUUUUACUAUUUAAGAUAUUCUCUAAGGAAAGCAACACAUAAAUUCUUUAAGACUUAAUGUUGUUAUCCGGUUGGUUCACAAAAAUCUAGUAAGCGUUUGAUAAACUUUAUUAUGUACCUGACAUGACAUGUCUUAUUGAAGUAAUGAUUUCUCACUUAAACUUUAUCUAAAUUCAAUCAAAAAAGAUAUGAGAUAUAAGUAUACUCUAUGAACUUCAAUCUUAAUAUUUUAAAUCAUAAAAUCUUUGUCAAGAUUCAUCUGUAUGAUUUUUAACAUAUAUUCAAUGUAUAUUUAGAAAAUCUUAUUUAGUGAAUUCAACACUCGAUUGAUAAUUUGACUAAUUCGAUAUCUAAUCAUUAGAUUAUUAUAAAGUAAAAUCAUGAGUUUGUAGAUGCCUGAAUAAGCUUUUAUACUCAUAUUUUAUUUUAUCUAAAGUCAUUGAUAUAUUUAUUCAAAUAAUUAUUUUGUUGAUUGCCAUGAUUUUUGUAAAUAAAAAAUAUUUUUGCACAACGUCAUGUAAUUUGAUGAAUUUCUUAUGAUCUUAAGGUUUAACUAUUUAAAUUUAUAUCAUGAUAAUUUUGUUCAUUAAUUAACUUGUUAAUUACAUACUUGAGAUCUUGACAUGUAUGCUUCAAGUGUAUGAUUUCAUAUAUUACAUCAUAAUAAAUAUUUUAUAUUUUUAGAUCUCCAGUCUUGGCCUUCAAAAAACUCACUAAUUCCUCACUAACAAAUAGAGAUCUCUCCAUUGGAAACUCUCUCCUAACCUCUCUGGUACUAUUUGGUCACAUGGUGCUACAAGAUGAAAAGAGGUGGCUUCUAUUUAUAUAUCACCUUGAGCUGCCUUAGGAAGCGUGCCAAUGAACUCCUUAGUAAAUGUGUCCACAAUUUACUCGAAGCAAAAAUGGUUUGGUUGAACUGUUUCUCCCAUCUGGCUUGGCCUGCCAAUAAUUGGGCCAUUGAGGGGCAUAUAAUUGAUCUCUCUCUCUCUCNNNNNNNNNNNNNNNNNNNNNNNNNNNNNNNNNNNNNNNNNNNNNNNNNNNNNNNNNNNNNNNNNNNNNNNNNNNNNNNNNNNNNNNNNNNNNNNNNNNNNNNNNNNNNNNNNNNNNNNNNNNNNNNNNNNNNNNNNNNNNNNNNNNNNNNNNNNNNNNNNNNNNNNNNNNNNNNNNNNNNNNNNNNNNNNNNNNNNNNNNNNNNNNNNNNNNNNNNNNNNNNNNNNNNNNNNNNNNNNNNNNNNNNNNNNNNNNNNNNNNNNNNNNNNNNNNNNNNNNNNNNNNNNNNNNNNNNNNNNNNNNNNNNNNNNNNNNNNNNNNNNNNNNNNNNNNNNNNNNNNNNNNNNNNNNNNNNNNNNNNNNNNNNNNNNNNNNNNUAUAAUUAGUAUCUCUCUCUCUCUCUCUCUCUCUCUCUCUCUCUCUCUCUCUCUCCUCAGCAUUAAAUACAGUUUUUUUCCGCUGCCUAUUAUGAGCUGACCUGCUGGACGUGGUCAACUUAUGAGCCACGUGCCAAUAGAGCUGGCAUUCAUGAUGAAGGUGACGGAGAAGUGCGACAUGUACAACUUCAGGGUGGUGGGGUUCGAAGUCAUGAUGGGGAAGCACCCGACGGACCUGAUCACCUCCCUGUCGUCGUCCUCCUCCUCCGGCGAUGGCAAGGCGCUGCUGUUGAAGGACGUUCUCGACCAUCGCCUGGCCCCCCCAAUAGGGUGCGGAGGAGGUCGUGUUCAUUGUCAAGAUGGCCCUGACCUGCACCAACAAGGACCCGGAGGCCCGCCCCUUCAUGAGAUUCGUGGCUCAGGAGAUCUCAACCCGAACCCCAGCCUACCUCUCCGAGCCGUUCGGCACCAUCACCCUUGGCAAGCUCGUCGAGUUUAAGAAGUAGCUGAUCGGGGAGGUACGAAUGAAGCGAGUGCCGUCCAGGUGCCGGUUCCAGGCAACCCCCCAUUGACUUGAAAAGUCUCCUUCCCACGAUGCAACUAAGCCAAAUGUUUGGACCAAGACUGACAUUGCAGACGUCAGCUCCUUCCCUCUUUUAUUUUUUUAAUUUUUCUGUAUCUAAACCUGUGGGAAGAGAACGCGUAAAGUUUAUGAUGGUGGGAGAGGCUCCUUCUUUUCCAGUUCUCCCAUUAUUUCUUAUUUCCUGGGCAUCGAUUUUAAUAAAUAUUUAACUUUUUUCAAAACCCUACGCCUCUCCGGUCACAUGCCAUCUUCUGGGCCUGACCAAGAAGAAAAAAAACAGUCGUCCAAUACAACGGAUCUGGUGGAGAAUGGUGGGCAUUCGUUGAGCCUCGUUCGGAAUUUAUUUUAUUGAUUUAUCCAUUACCUUCACUUUUUUAAGUGUGGGUUAUUAGGCAAGGGUUACCUGUUAUUCAAUGAGGGAGAAUCCGGGAUCCUUUGAUGAAGAAAAGUCUAAUGCGCCACAUGAAGUGGCUGCUUGAUGCUGACGAGGGAGACCAAGGCCGGUUCAGGGUGAGAAUAUUGGUCUGGUGGUGUUGGGUCUGGUUGGGUUUAUCUUGACCAUGUGACAGUACCACCCAUCUGCUCUCGGCACUGCUGAAUCGCUAUUUUGUUAAUUUUAUCGUGAAGGUUGUGUAAGGAUAUUGACUCUCGAAAUGGUUCCUUUGAUUAAUUGGGUAAUUAUGGCAAAUAGAAUUUCAUCUUUCAAUUUAUAUUCCACAAUACAAUCGAAUAUAAGAGUGGACGGUGGUCUUUGUGUGAUUGAGGAGAGUAGAACCAAAUAUUGCGCAUAGCUGGGCUACUAAACACUGUCCAUAUCGGGCCAACAAAAGGGAAGAUCAUGUAAAAUGUCAUUAUUGUGUAGGAGUCACCACUACAAGUUCGGUCUUAGGAUUUCUCUUCUCUCAACAUAUUACAAGUAUUGGGGACACUAGAAGCUCAAGUAGAGUUUAAUGGAUCACAAUGACUUAUCUUUGUGGUAGUCGUCAUCACUGUCCACUUGAAUAACAUUGGACAGUGGGAUCACCCACACCUUCUUCUUGGUACAAGAGAUGACUUGACUAGAGCUAACAUAAAGAGACCUUAUUCAAGUGCAAAUAUUCAUCUUCCAGUAUCAAAUUAGAGUUCCGAGGAAUGCACCGUUGAGAUAAAAGAGAGAAAGGGGAGGAGACGAGCAAGUGAAGGAGAGUUGGGAUAAUGAAAGGAGGAGCAGGAUAGGGUGGCUAGGGUUUUGGGACUGCCUUGUUUUAUUUUUUCUCUAAAUGGGCUGCAAGAUAGGCCAUGUAUUGAAUGAAUGGGCCAAGGCCAUUUUCAAAUUAAUUUUAGAUUUAUUUUAGGCCAAGAAUUGAUUCGGACUCAAAAGAUGAAUCUAUUUUACAUGUCAUUUAGUCCUAACAAUAAUUUAAAUUCUCCUCAUUUAAUCCUGAAAUAAAUCCAAGUAAAAUUUAAGAAUACUCUGCACUAUUAGACACCAAAUUUAAUCAUCAUCUAUUUUAAUCCUAUAAUUACAUGGAAUCACACAUGCAUUUUCACAUUUAUGGAAAUAUGAAGAUUAAUCAUUUAUUCCAAAUUGAAUCAUAGUAAAAAAUUCUAAAAGUAAAGAUAUUAUGUUCAAAUAACAUUCUUUGAACAAAAUCAAACUAAUGAACUUCGUAAAAGAGAUAUUUUAUUAAUAUAAUACGUUCUGAAUAUAAUGGAAUUGACUCUAAAUUAACAGACGGUAAAACUAAUAGAAAUAGAUUGUGAUUGUCAUGUUAAAGUUUUGAGUGUCUUUUAGGCCUUAAUAGUUUCAAUGGGUCACCUUUCCCAAUUAUUCGUCUUUUGGCCUAAUUUAAUUAAUUUUAGCUCAACCAUUAGCAUCUCUACUUUAUGGAGUACAUCACAACUUCUAAUUCUAAAUUUUAGGAGAAGUCAACAAUUGGGAGUACUAUGACUAAAAUUAAUGCAAUCUUUAGCUAAUGGUAGGCUGAUUCUACAUUCAAACCCUAAUUAAAAUAGUUACAUUUAAAUUUUUAAAUAAAAUCUCACAUGAUUAUUCUAAGGGUAAUGAUGAAGUGAUAAUUGAUAAGUCUUCAUGAUCAUGAGUUAAUAAUUUAGUGAGAUAAUGUUUUUAGCCUUAACUCAUGAUAAAUAGAUUUAUUUUUGUGUUAAAUCAUGAAAAAAAAUAAAAAUACUGCCGGCUAGCCGGGCCCGCUAACGGGUCGGAGGCCCAAUCAGGCAAGGCCACUGAGUGGCUAAGGACCGCGAGCUCGAGGCUUAAGCAACUAGUGACAUAGACCGCGAGUUAGGCGCUCAAGCAGCUGACGUGUGCGUCAUUCCCCUUCCACGUCACUAGUGGCCAGUCGGGCAUGGGGAAAAGAGUGGUCAUACACACACUGAUGAUUUGUACCUAUUGAAGAGUGGAGAAGAUGCCACCUUAUAUUCGUGUGAAAAUCACCUAGAAAACCGAUGUGGGACUAAACGCGACACUUUAACUUUUUCCCGCAUAUUUUAUACAUACCAAUAAUGCCCCUCAAUGAUCGUUAGAAAAUGAUCUUUAUGACAUCAUACAUUAAUGGCAAUUUAGUACUUAUUUUAUCUCUCCCUCUUUCUCUCUCUCGCAGGCAGACAAUCGGCGAAGAAAUCGUGAUUUUCGACAAGCAAUUAAGCUGCAAAAAUCGCCAAAAAAUUAGAAAAAACUUAGUCAACACAAUUUGCAAAGCAUCAUGGCUGAAAUUAGUGUAGGAUUCUGGAAAAAAUAUCGUGAACUCAACGAAAAAAUCAUCUCUGCUUGAUCGACGAACAAGUUGUCACCAAGAAGAGGACGAUCUACCGGGAGACAAGUCACCACCUCCUAAGAGCGUACUAGAUGUGAUAAAGGGCCUCCUCUUAUUACACUUACUUGAGGACGAAGCCCUUGAGAUGCGCCCCACCUCCAUCUAGCAUACCUCCGUCGAGUGACAAUCGUCAGAGGGCUGCAAGUCGCCGUUUUUCCGUUCUGCCAGGUGACAACCAUCGAAAAUAAUUUGGUGACCCAUUCCACCAAUUUUUGGGCUUCGAAAGAAGAUCUAGAGAUCACCCACAUCAUUUUUGUCCAAAGAGAGCCUUCGACGUCAUGGACAUUGUACAAUUUCUUUUUUGAAUACGCAAAAUUCCAACGAUCGUCACCACGAAGUCAAAACUCUAUUUUUCCUAUUUUAAACUUUAUUUUCAUUUAAAUUAGUAAUAUUUGAUAUGAUUUCAAUCUUUCGUCCUUGAGUUACGAUUCUUCAGGCUUUUACAAAACUAAAUUUUAUCAAUUAAUUUGACGAUAAUCGCUUACGAAAGAAUCAUAGGUCGGAACUCUAUUUUUGCCCGAUUCGUGUUCUUCAGGCGAUGACGUCACUUGAUGUCAUAAACUUAUUUCCUUUUCACAAUUAUUAAAUAUAUUAUAUUUAUCAUUCAAUUAAAAAAUUAUAAAAAAAUCAUAUUCUUUGAAAAAAAUUCUAAAAUAUUACUCGAUAUUAUAUUACAUCCUUGUGAUCGACUUAGAAAUUUCUCACUAUUUUUGAAAUCUUUUAUCGAUUUAUAAUUAAUUUAUUCAUUCUAAUAAAUAUUUAAAAUUACAAGAAUUAGUCUUUUCUAGUUUUAUAAAUUUUGAAUUUACAUGAUUUAUUAUACAACGAUUAAGUCACGUCAAUGAUGUUAUUAAAUCAUAAUGAAAAGUUUAUGAAACUCACAGAGGUUGACCGAAGAUGACCAUGUCAAGUGUUGAUAGUCAUUAGAUCCAUGACCAAUAAUAUUGUUGAUAUGUAAUGACCGAGAUAGAAGAUCAAAGAUUUUUCAAAGGAAAAUUUCUUUAGACUAAUGUACAACUGAUGAGAUUUGAGAGUGCCUAAUACCUAAGUGAGGUGUCCUUUGUGUUCCUCUCAUGCCUUAUUUUAAAUCAAUAUAUCAUCAAAGAAAAUUAAGAUAAAAUUUAAAAGAUAUUUAUAAAAUAUUAUACUCAUUAGUACUUGAAAGAGCAAGGGUUUAUGAUGUCAGGUGACAUCAGCACCUGAAGAACACGAAUCGGGUAGAAAUAGAGUUCCAACCUAUGAUUCUUUUAUAAGCGAUUACCGUCAAAUUAAUUGAUCAAAUUUAGUUCUGUAAAACUCCGAAGAAUCGUAACUCAAGAAGGAAAGAUAUUGAAGGUCGAAAUUGUACCAAAGAUCACUAAUUUAAAUGAAAAUAAAGUUUAAAAUAAGAAAAAUAGAGUUCUGACUUCACGGCGACGAUCGUUGGAAUUCUGCAUGUUCAGAAAGGAAAUCAUGCAAUGUCCACGACCUCGAAGGCUCUCCUUGGACAAAGACAAUGUGGGUGAUCUUUAGAUCUUCUUUCGAAUUCCAGAAAUCAGUGAAAUGGGUCACCAAAUUGUUUCCAGCGGCUGUCACUUGGUAAAAUGGAAAAACGGCGACUUGUGACCCUGCGGCGACUGUCACUCGAUGGAGGUAUGUUAAAUAGAGGUGGGGCACGUCUCAGGGACUUCGUCCUCAAGUAAGCACAGGAAGGGGAGGCCCUUUAUCACAUCUGGUAUGCUCUCAGGAGGUGGCGACUCGUCUCUUAGUGGAUCAUCCUCUUCUUGGUGAUGGCUUAUUCAUUGAUCAAGUGGAGAUGAUUUUUUCAUUGAGUUCGCGAUGUUUUUUUUAGAAUCUUACACCAAUUUUGGCCACGAUGCUCUGCAAAUUGUGUUGACUAAGUUUUUGCUAAAUUUUUGGCAAUUUUUGUAGCUUAAUCGCUCGACGAAAAUCACGAUUUCUUCACCGGUUGUCUACCUACGAGAGAGAGAAAGAGGGAGAGAUAAAAUAAGAAUAAACUGCCCUUAAUGUAUGAUGUCAUAAGGAUCAUUUUCUAACAGUCAUUGAGGGACAUUAUUGAUAUGUAUAAAAUAUGUGGGAAAAAGUUAAAGUGCCGUAUUUAGUCUCACAUCGGUUUUCUGGAUGAUUUUCACACGAAUAUAAGGUGGCACCUUCUCCACUCUUCAAUAGGUACAAAUCACCAAUGUGUGUAUGACCACUCCUUGCCCCAUGCCCGGCUAGCCACCGGUGACGUGGAAGAGGAGUGAUGCACACGUCAACUACUUGAACGCCUAGCUCGUGGUCUAUGUCACCAGCUACUUGAGCCUCGAGCUCGUAGUCCUAAGCCGCUCAGCGGCCUUGCCCGAUUUAGCCUCCAACUUGCUAGCAGGCUUGGCUGGCCGGCAGUGUUUUCAUUUUUUUUCUCAAAUCUUUUUCCAUUUAUCUCAACAAAAUAAGAUUAUAAAUCAUGUAAUUAAUCAAAAAUUCAUAUUAAGUAAUCAUAAAUCACUUUUAACGAUUUAACACAAAAAUAAAUCUAUUUAUCAUGAGUUAAGGCUAAACAAAUCAUCUCACUAAAUUAUUAACUCAUGAUAAUGAAGACUUAUCAAUCAUCACUUCAUCAUUACCCCUAGAAUAAUCAUGUGGGAUCUUAUUUCAAAAUUUAAAUGUAACUAUUUUAAUUAGGGUUUGAAUUUAGAAUCAGCCUACCAUUAGCUAAAGAUUGCAUUAAUUUUAGUCCUAGUACUCUCACUUGUUGACUUCUCCUAAAAUUUAGAAUUAGAAGUUGUGAUGUACUCCAUAAAGUAGAGAUGCUAAUGGUUGAACUAAAAUUAAUUAAAUUAGGCCAAAAGACGAAUAAUUGGGAAAGGUGACCCAUUGAAACUAUUAAGGCCUAAAAGACACUCAAAACUUUAACAUGGCAAUCACAAUCUAUUUCUAUUAGUUUUACCGUCUGUUAAUUUAGAGUCAAUUCCAUUAUAUUCAGAACGUAUUAUAUUGAUAAAAUAUCUCUUUUACGAAGUUCAUUAGUUUGAUUUUGUUCAAAGAAUGUUAUUUGAACAUAAUAUCUUUACUUUUAGAAUUUUUUACUAUGAUUCAAUUUGGAAUAAAUGAUUAAUCUUCAUAUUUCCAUAAAUGUGAAAAUGCAUGUGUGAUUCCAUGUAAUUAUAGGAUUAAAAUAGAUGAUGAUUAAAUUUGGUGUCUAAUAGUGCAGAGUAUUCUUAAAUUUUACUUGGAUUUAUUUCAGGAUUAAAUGAGGAGAAUUUAAAUUAUUGUUAGGACUAAAUGACAUGUAAAAUAGAUUCAUCUUUUGAGCCCGAAUCAAUUCUUGGCCUAAAAUAAAUCUAAAAUUAAUUUGAAAAUGGCCUUGGCCCAUUCAUUCAAUACAUGGCCUAUCUUGCAGCCCAUUUAGAGAAAAAAUAAAACAAGGCAGUCCCAAAACCCUAGCCAUGCUAUCCUGCUCCUCCUUUCAUUAUCCCAACUCUCCUUCACUUGCUCGUCUCCUCCCCUUUCUCUCUUCCAUCCUACAUCUCUUCUCUCUCUCUCUCUCUCUCUCUCUCUUCCACUCCCCCUCCCUCCCUCUUUUUGUUGCUGUGAUAUCCCCCUCUUGUGUGUGUAAAGGGAAAGAGUUAAGAAAGCCUAUGAGCAAAACAAAGUUAUUGGAUCACCUUUUUGUUCUCAUUCUAUAUUAUGUGAAGGGGAUUUUUCAUAAAUUAGAACAAAAGGGAAUGGGUUUAAAUGCAUUCACAUCAUUAAUUAAAAUUGAAAUAGAUAUUUGCUUGACUAUUUUCUGUCGUUGCUAUGAAAAUUCAGCAAAUUUAAAAUUUAUAAAUUCUGGAAAAUAAGGCAAUUAUUAAUAAAGAAAUAUUUUUAGUAGAUUUUCUAGGCCGAUCAUAGGGAAGAUGAAGUAAUAUUAAUUAUUUAUGAUUUUUACUUGAUAUAUUAUAUAUUUUUUAAUUAUUUUCUGGCCAAAUUAUAACGAAAUAAGCUAAAAUUACGAAUUUGGGGGUUAUUGUCGUCAGCUGACGUCAGCCUGCGAAGAACAUCCCCAAAUUUGCGGUCGACGGAAAUACGUCGACACGUAAAUGGAUCAAAUAAAAGCCACAAUGAUGGAAAUAAGAGAUUAACAGAAAAGGGCUUUUGUUCGAAACAUGAUGAAGGAUUGAAAUAUGUAUUUUUGGAAUCUAAAAAUAGUAAAAAUGAACAGAAAUUAAAGUUUACGGAAGAACUGGGCGACGUAGUCGUCAAUCGGAUUUCCGCCCAAAUACGAUCUAUUUGUGUAGUCUCAGUGCACCGAUUGAUUUCCUACACCUUCUACAAUAGAUAGUUGACAAUCUCAGAAACUGUUACUUGCUGAAAUCGAGCAGCGAAGGUGAUUCGACUUUGAGCGUGCCGCGGCGUCCGGAGAAGGAUCCUCGGAAGAAAUUCUUUACCAUUUGUAUUGGGCAAUGAAUGGGGAAGAUUUCUGGAAGAAAUUCAGCCUUUGUACCAGUUGAAUGAGGGGGAAAUUUGGACAAAAUCUAUCUUUUGUAUCGGAUGGACGGAUUGGGUGAAAUCUGGUGUCUGUAGUAGUUGGACGAGAGGGGUUUUGACCCGAGAGGGGGAUAGAAUAAUCGAGGAUGCCUUAUUCCUCUCCGGAAACACCUUUUCAAUCUUCUUUUGCGCAUAUUUCGCCGAUUUGUUACAAGUAAUUGUCGUAUUUGUUGCCGCAAUCCAUGCGUCUGUCGUUAACACAAAAACCCUGAAAAGAUUUGAUUUUUCAUUAGUUUUAAAGGUUAUAAACUAUAAAAAUGACAUGCAUUGAAUUAUAACAUAAUUUCCAAUUUAUUUUUUUCAAUUUACUUGGAGAAUUUCUCUCUGGAGAAUCAAUUGAUCAUCCGGCGUGAUUUUUGUCGAUUUUUCUGGAUUUUCACUGAUUUUCUGAAUUUAAUGAUUUUUCUCAAAUUUACAUAAUAUGUCUAUAAAAUCAGAAUAACCUUAGAAAUAUUCUAAAAAAUAAUAUAAAACAUAAAAACAUGAUGAGAAAUAUUUUCAUCAUAUUACAUGACUGAUUUCUUCAUGUAAUUCUUAGAAAUUAACAUUAAAAUCAUAUAAAUCAUUUUAAAUCUAAAUUUUCCAAUUUAAAGUAUUCUGCAAGCAUUUUAAUUAAAAUUAAAGCAUAAAUCACAGAAACACUAAGGACAUUAUCAUGUAAAUAUUGAGAGUUAUCAAUAUCAACUUAUUUCAACAAAGAUAGCAUUAGGUAUGGAUGGAAUUGAUUAUGUCUUCAUUUAAUGUCUAGGAUUUAAAUAAAAUCUUUCUAAUCAGAAUGAAAAGAAGAUUAAGAAAAGGGGAAUAAGAAGGAAAAAAAAUUAUUUCAUCACAGAGAAAUAAUCAAGUCUACAUACAUUCACAUUGUAUCAUUUCGAUAAAUUAUGAGAUAAGUUAGGUACGCUGUUUAUAUCUUAUUUAAAUUCAAUUGAGAGAGAAAAGAUUUUAUAUAAUCAUGAAAUCAAGAAGAUAGAAGUGAUGAGCUAUUCUAAUUUUGGGCUUCCUAGAGCCCUGAAAUCUGUAAGAAAUAACUGAGGUAGACUUGUCAAUUCAACAAGGGGAGUAAUAACUUCUAGAGUUACUAGACUUGCGGAAUCCAACUAGUUUGUGUGCUUGGAACUUAGUGUGUAAACACUAAGACUUGGUGAAAUUUAAGGAUAAUAUUUUUAGAUAUCUUAUGUGAAAUUUUCUUUAUGAUUAUUCUAAUUAGAGAUUCGAUAUUUGAUUUUGAAGAAAACUAUAUCAAUUCAAGCUCCCUUUGUGAUGUUGUAGUACUACUUGGACAUCAAACAAAGGUCAGCAUGGAAGCCAAAAUACCAACCUUACUUUUGAAGCUUGAAUGAUAAACUUAUUCUGAAUUAUAUUUGUGAUUCAUCAUCACUAAAAUAAGGGCUUCAUGAAUAUUAAUUAUCCUAAAAAAAAAUGAAAACAUAUUUAAAGGAAUACAUUAAUCAAAUUAGGUUUAAUAUAUUAUAUAUAUAACACAGACGAUCUUUGGGCGCAUGCUUGAAAUAAAUUACUUCGAAAUUCAUAUAAGAUACAUCUCAAUAUUUUUAAGUGCCUUGAUGAUAGUUCAAUGAUUAUUUGUCAUUCUCAUAUUUUUGAAUUCUGGAUUAACAAAAAUGCUAUUGGGCCACAUUUGGUCCAAUUGAUCUGAUUUACACCUUAAGGGCUCUUAAGAAAUUUGAAAAAGGAAGAGAGGGAGAUUUGCGGAUGGAUAAAUGUUAGGGGGCAGCAUUUGGAGGAAGUCAAAGAAUGGAGAGACAAUGGCCCUCUUGAAAAGGUACCAUGUUAUGGAGCUAGGGUUUUGGCAUGAUCCAAACUCACCCCUUUCUUUGUAUCCUCCAUUUGUAUUUUCUAUCAUCCUUAUCAUCUUCAUACAUUGUUCUUAUCAACUGGUAUCAAGAUUGGUCUGAUGCCACCCAAAAUUAUGCAAAGGACAAGAAACCUUAGAGAAGAAAAUUAAAGAGUUGUGGUGGCCACUAGAAAUAAGGAGCCAUCUACAAGAAUUAAGUGGAAUAAAGAAGAGAUUGGAAACUCCAGCACAAUGAAUGAUGUAGAUGAUGCAGGCCAUGGAUUAGUUUCGAUGCCCAAGUAAAAAAAAAUUAAACUCAUCUUUAUGUUUUAAUGCAUAAAGAUAUGACUCCAAAAGAAAGAAAAUGUGACUAGAAGGAGAAACAAGCAUAAGGCCAAGUAAAACUUUUAUCUACAAAAGACAGAUUUGAAAGUAGCCUCUUACUUAAAAAGAAAUGUACCAAAUGGGAUAUGUUGUGCUAGAUACCGAGAUAGGUGGAAUUAGAUUGGAAAUGAUCACCUUUAACAAGAAAAUUGAGGAAGAUGUAUCCUCAUAAUAAAAUUAGUGACUCAUAGCUUAUGAAAAUUAUAUGUUAAUGUGUCAUUAAAUCAGGGAGAAUAAUACAUAGUUGAGAAUUAUUUCACAAGAUAUCAUGUUAAUUAUUUUAUUUAUCAUUUUAAUGAACCUCUUGGAAUCUUGAUUUAAGUUAAUAUUUUAUGAAUAAAAAGAAAAUUGAUGAGAUCUUAUUUCAUAUUUUGAAGCUUAUUUCUCAUUUAGUCUAUUUUUUAAAAUAAAAUUCUGUUGUUCUCAAUUUUUACAAUUUUUAAUGGAUUAUUUAUAUUGAAAUAAAUUUUCUAAAAUUUUUUUGAGAAUUUUCUGAAUUAAAUAAUAAAAAAAUGAUCUAAUGGGCUCACCGAUUUGUGGGCCUAUCUGGGCCCAAGAUCUUAUUCAUCUAAUGUGUUUCUAGUGUCAUAAAUUUAACAAAUAGAAGAGUGACACAUCACCAAAGGCCACGACUAUCUGAUGACAUACAAGUGGCCACGUCACCUAUCAAUUAUCAUGGAUCGACAGUGCAUGAAUCACAAGAUUCUCAACUUGACAUGUGGUGAGGACACAUGCACAAAUAUUAAUUAUUAUUUGAUAAAUUUGAUAUAUCACAAUAUGCAUGUGACUGAGCAUAUUUACAAAUAUGGAUUAUUGUCUAAUAAAAUAGACAAUAUCCAUUAUUCUCAGGUAUAAUGGUGAGAAAAUCUAGAAAAAUUAAGGAAAAUCUGAAAAAAAUACGGAAAAAUAGAAAAUUAAAAUAGAAUACUUGAUUUGUGGAUAUAAAUAAUAAAACAUGAUGGAAGAGGGAGAGAAAGGAUCUUUUUUGAGUUUUUUUUGAAUUUUUCUUGAGAGAAAAUAUUUUGUUCUUUUUUUUCAUGUGAAAAUAGAGUUCCAAUGAAUGCACCGUUGAUUUUUUAUCGUUCUCCUUUACCCUUCUCACCUUAAAUCUAUUUCGUUGAACUGGAUGCAAGAUUAGGAAGUGCUACCUAGAUGUCGACAUCAAACCAUGCAUUCUAAGGAUUAUAAGUUUAAUUUUAAAUAUAUUUUUCAUCAUUUUCUUGUUUGAUCUGCGAAAUAAAUUUAUUUUCUUAGUUUUAAUCAUUUCUUUACUUAUUUCUUUUCCAUUUUCAUCAUUCUAAAGCAUAUUUCAUUUUAGUCGAAGUUUUAAAUUCACAUCUACAUUUAUUUAUCAUUUUAUUUUCCUUCAUUAGUUUAAAUAUCAAAUUCAUAAUCUAUUAAAUAAGAGAAUAAAAAGAUUUUUAAAAGCUUUCCCUAAGGAGACUACCUAGCUCACCACUAUAUUCAUUUAAUAUUAUUUUUUUGGUGACUUUAGUUUUAUAAAUUAUUAAAAUUGAAUGAUGAUUCUAAUAACGACUUAAGGUCACAUCAGUGACAUAUGGGAUGAGUUUCAAAGAUGAGACAUUGACAUGUUUUUAUUUGAUUGAUGCGACUAAUCCUUUCAAAAAGCUUGAAGGAUUUCAAAUAAUAGUUUCUAGAAAUAUUUGAAUCAUGACAAGCCAAGAGACAAAGUUAUAUUUGGAUACCAAUCAACAUGAUACAUUAGUAGAAUUCAGAUGUGACUUUAAAAUCAUACUGGUGUCCAUGGAAGAGUUUCUUGAAGCAUUGGAGAAUACAUCUAUCGUAGGAUUAAAUCCAAAUAUUUGGACAACUUAGACUCCAUAAAUCAAUUGUGCUAAGACUGAUCAUGAAGACAAUACUAUUUGCAAGGAAAAGAAAUAAUGUCUUCAGAUUGGUGUGUGAAAUGAGGGUUUUCAAGUCAACUAAAGACUCGUCUAAAAGAUUUUUUGCUGAUAAGAGAAAAAUUACUCACAAAAAUGAUCUAUGGUAAAUAAAAAUGGAAAAUUAUGGUUUAAAUAAAUUAAAAUAACAAUGUAGUAUGAUAAAAUAAUUAAAAGAAGGGAAUCAAAGAGGGACAAAGAGAUAAAAACACAAUAAAAGGAGAAAACUCAUUAACAAGAGAGAAAGACAAUUCAAGAGACAAAACAAGAAAUCAAGGACAUAAUGGGGGAUUGGAGAAUGUUGAAAGAAAACUUUUUGAAAAUUUAUAAAUGUGAAAAAAUAAAAAAGACAUGGAGGAAGUGGGAGGGACUAGAACUAUAAGAAAAACAAAAAGUUCUUACAAUUGGUCACAUAGGAAGAGAGAGCAAAAGGAGAGCAAGAAAGCAACAAAAUAUUCCUAAAAAUUCAUAAAAUAAAGAUCCAAAAUGUUAAAGAAGAGGUGGGGAACGAUUUCAUGAUUGUCACGUAGGAAAAGAGAUAGAGAAAAGAAUCCAAAGAGAAAGAGCUCCAAAAGAGAAGAUUGGAAGAAGAAGAGGAGAAAGGAGAGAAGAUAAGGGGUGUGCAGAAAUAUUUUAAUAUAAAAAAAUUUCAGCUUUAGAGCGGGAUAUUAUGAUUUAGGGCACGCCCAUUAGUGUCUAAUGGGUAAAUUGCUCAUAUGUCACAACCAAAGUCUCCUCUUUAUCUUGAAUAUAAAAAGAUAAAUAAUUAAAUAUAUAAAUUUAUUAGGAAUAUAAAUUUAAUUAUGAAAUUUUAGAAAUGAAUUAAUAUCAGUAUCAAAAGAAUUUAUUGGAGUAUUAUUUAUUCAUAAAGUAUAAUAAAAAUGCACAGGUUUAUGUUAUUUUUACAUAAAAAUAUCAUGUUAUCACAUCCCCUCCCAACUUACACAUUGUUAAUCCCUUAGAAACUCACACAAUAAAUAUUUAGAACUAACCAGAGUUAUAAAACAUCACAUUUCAAGUCAAGAAUGUAAGAAUGAAAAUGAUCAGUCACAAGUAUUUCAAGCUGUACUAAUUAGUUUUAAGGCAAGACAUAUUGGAUUAUGUAAUUAGAAAACUCUCAAAAUAUAUUUCAGAUGUUAGAACCCCUUGUGAAAGUGUGUGCAUAUAAUGCAUAAAUAUCAACAAGUGGAUGCAUAAUAUCAACUCCAUACUACUCAAAUCUGUUCCUUGCCUUUUGAAGCUUCACUAUAUCAUUUUUUAAUAUUUUUCUUCUUCCUUCUUUCUUUUCCUUUUUUCGUUUAGGGAGAUAACUUUUCCUGACCAUUACUUCUUCCUUGGAAGCAUAUAAUGUCAAUUUUCAAAUCCUCGAGUGUGAUACUCACUCUAACUUUAUUCUUUUUCACUUUCUUUUGCACAAAAGUAGUCUUUUUCCUCACAAAUACUUCUUCAUUAGUAGUGUAGGAUAUCAAUCUUCAAAUCUAAAUGUUAAGUAAAACUCUCAUCAUCUGCAUGAAUGACACUUUAAUUUUUAUGGACAAAUGUGUGUAGGCUCCACAAAAUUUAUCAUGUACUUUUAGGAAUACUAAAACAUAGUUAGCAAACUCACCGAUUAAUUCACUACUAUCACAAACAUAUAAUUUCACUUCUACCAAUCUUAAAGAUUUUUUUUAUUGAAUGAAACACAAAGCAUGAGGCAUAAAGUUUGAAAUAAUUUAAUUUUAGUUUCAAAUUAAAUCAUUCUUAAGCAUGAAGUAAGAAGUAUGACUUAUGAAACAUGAUUUUUUUAAAAAAAAUUGGAUACCAUUUUCUCUUCCCAACUUAAAUGGCAUUAUUAAAUAUGAAGCAUCAAGCAUGACACAUGAAACAUAAUUUGUUUUAAAAAAUUAAAUACCAUUUCUAAGAAAAAUUAAACAACAUAAGCUAGGUGUUGUCUUCGCUACCUACUUCUUAUAGUGUAAUCAAAUAUGUCUCCUCAUCAUGCCAACCAACUUGAAACUUUAACAUUGAGAUCAUUCAGAAAUAUGAGCAAGAGUUUAUUGUCCAUAGCAGAAAAUUAUGAGACUAACCUCCUCUUACCAUUAGUCUGGUGUGAUACUGGAAGAUGAAUAUUUGCACUUGAAUAAGGUCUCUUUAUGUUAGCUCUAGUCAAGUCAUCUCUUGUACCAAGAAGAAUGUGUGGGUGAUCCCACUGUCCAAUGUUGUUCAAGUGGACAGUGAUGACGACUACCACAAAGAUAAGUCAUUGUGAUCCAUUAAACUCUACUCGAGCUUCUAGUGUCCCCAAUACUUGUAAUAUGUUGAGAGAAGAGAAAUCCUAAGACCGAACUUGUAGUGGUGACUCCUACACAAUAAUGACAUUUUACAUGAUCUUCCCUUUUGUUGGCCCGAUAUGGACAGUGUUUAGUAGCCCAGCUAUGCACAAUAUUUGGUUCUACUCUCCUCAAUCACACAAAGACCACCGUCCACUCUUCUAUUCGAUUGUAUUGUGGAAUAUAAAUUGAAAGAUGAAAUUCUAUUUGCCAUAAUUACCCAAUUAAUCAAAGGAACCAUUUCGAGAGUCAAUAUCCUUACAUGACCUUCACGAUAAAAUUAACAAAAUAGUGAUUCAGCAGUGCCGAGAGCAGAUGGGUGGUACUGUCACAUGGUCAAGAUAAACCCGACCAGACCCAACACCACCAGACCAAUAUUCUCACCCUGAACUGGCCUUGGUCUCCCUCGUCAGCAUCAAGCAGCCACUUCAUGUGGCGCAUUAGACUUUUCUUCAUCAAAGGAUCCCGGAUUCUCCCUCAUUGGAUAAUGGGUAACCCUUGCCUAGUAACCCACACUUAAAAAAGUGAAGGUAAUGGAUAAAUCAAUAAAAUAAAUUCCGAAUGAGGCUCAACGAAUGCCCACCAUUCUCCACCAGAUCCGUUGUAUUGGACGACUGUUUUUUUUCUUCUUGGUCAGGCCCAGAAGAUGGCAUGUGACCGGAGAGGCGUAGGGUUUUGAAAAAAGUUAAAUAUUUAUUAAAAUCGAUGCCCAGGAAAUAAGAAAUAAUGGGAGAACUGGAAAAGAAGGAGCCUCUCCCACCAUCAUAAACUUUACGCGUUUUCUUCCCACAGGUUUAGAUACAGAAAAAUUAAAAAAAUAAAAGAGGGAAGGAGCUGACGUCUACAAUGUCAGUCUUGGUCCAAACAUUUGGCUUAGUUGCAUCGUGGAAAGGAGACUUUUCAAGUCAACGGGGGGUUGCCCGGAACCGGCACCUGGACGGCACUCGCUUCAUUCGUACCUCCCCGAUCAGCUACUUCUUAAACUCAACGAGCUUGCCAAGGGUGAUGGUGCCGAACGGCUCGGAGAGGUAGGCUGGGGUUCGGGUUGAGAUCUCCUGAGCCACGAAUCUCAUGAAGGGGCGGGCCUCCGGGUCCUUGUUGGUGCAGGUCAGGGCCAUCUUGACAACGAACACGACCUCCUCCGCCAGCUGCCCUAUUGGGGGGGGCCCGGCGAUGGUUGAGAACGUCCUUCAACAGCAGCGCCUUGCCGUCGCCGGAGGAGGAGGACGACGACAGGGAGGUGAUCAGGUCCGUCGGGUACUUCCCCAUCAUGACUUUGAACGCCACCACCCCGAAGCUAUACACGUCGCACUUCUCCGUCACCUUCAUCAUGAAUGCCAGCUCUAUUGGCACGUGGCUCAUAAGUUGAUCACGUCAUAGGUAGCGGAAAAAAACCGUAUUUAAUGUUGAGGAGAGAGAGAGACCGAUUAUAUGCCCCUCAAUGGCCCAAUCAUUGGCAGGCCGAGUCAGAUGGGAGAAACAGUUCAACCAAACCAUUUUUGCUUCAAGUAAAUUGUGGACAUAUUUACUAAGGAGUUCAUUGGCACACUUCCUAAGGCAGCUCAAGGUGAUAUAUAAAUAGAAGCCACCUCUUUUUAUCUUGUAGCACCAUGUGACCAAAUAGUACCAGAGAGGUUAGGAGAGAGUUUCCAAUGGAGAGAUCUCUAUUUGUUAGUGAGGAAUUAAUGAGUUUUUUGAAGGCCAAGACUAGAGAUCUAAAAACAUCGAAUAUUUAUUAUGAUGUAAUAUAUGAAAUCAUACACUUGAAACAUAUAUGUCAAGAUCUCAAGUAUGUAAUUAAUAAGUUAAUUAAUGAAAAAAAUUAUCAUGAUAUAAAUUUAAAUAGUUAAACCUUAAGAUCAUAAGAAAUUCAUCAUAUUACAUGACAUUAUGCAAAAAUAUUUUUUAUUUAUAGAAAUUAUGACAAUCAAUGAAAUAAUUAUUUGAAUAAAUAUAUCAACAACUUUAGGUAAAAUAAAAUAUGAGUAUGAAAGCUUAUUCAGGCAUUUACAAACUCAUGAUUUUACUUUAUAACAAUCUGAUGAUUAGAUAUCGAAUUAGUCAAAUUAUCAAUUGAGUGUCGAAUUCACUAAAUAAGAUUUUCUAAAUAUACAUUGAAUAUAUGUUAAAAAUCAUACAGAUAAAUCUUGACAAAGACUUUAUGAUUUAAAAUAUUGAUAUUGAAGCUCACAAAGUAUACUUAUAUCUCAUAUCUUUUUUGAUUGAAUUCAUAUAAGAUUUAAGUGAGAAAUCAUUACUUUAAUAAGACAUGUCAUGUUGGGUACAUAAUAAAGUUUAUCAAACUCUUAUUAGAUUUUUGUGAACCAACUGGAUAACAACAUUAAGUCUUAAAGAAUUUAUGUGUUGUUUUUCUUAGAGAAUAUCUUAAAUUAUAAUAGGACAUCGUAUUAGAUUUACUUAAGCUUUGAAUUUAAUCUAGUCAUUGGAGAUCCUACAAAGUCAGUGAAAAAUUUAUAUGUAAUUUAUCUAUAAAUACUACUGUUCUCCAACAUGAAGAAUUAAUCCUCAACGAGCAUAUUUAUUCUUUCAUACAUUCUUUCUCUAUUUAAUGAUCUUCAUGUAGUACAUUCAAGAGGAUGAGAGAUGAUUGUUCUACUAGCUACACAUUAAAAGAACAAGUAUUAACUCAAACAUAUUCAAGAUAUUCUUCAUCCUUGAGCCGAACUUAACAACAAGUUUUCAAGUUUCAAUGCCAACAUAUAGAAAUAACAAGAUGAUAAAGGUUCAACCUUCUAAACAUUCAUCUUCUACUACUGCAACAAUCUAAAACACUCAACAUUUACCUUCUAGAUAUACCCACGGUGAUAUAGGUUUAUAUAUUUGUGGGUUUAAAUAAAUGAUUAUUUUUUUUAUCACUUGGGCAGUUGUCCUGUAAAAACAAUAAUUUAGGGCCUUAUAGAGUGGUGAAUCUAGAAGAAGGGUAAAUUGAGCCCAUGAAAUUAAUGGUUAUGAUCUAAACAAUCAACUAGUAUAACCCAAGGAUAUGGAGUAUCCUUAGAGAGUGGAUGUAGGCUGAUACCAAACCAUUAUAAAAAUAGUAUGUCCAUGAUCACAACCCCUUAAGGAUCAGCCCAUUAGGAAAGUGACAAAGGGAUCACAAAGAGAAAUCAUUCAAAGAAAAGAAAAGAUGAAUCAAUUCAACCCUCACUUCUUGAUCUUCAGUGGCCUAAAACUAAUAGAUUGAGUUAAUUUUCUAAUUUAUCAAAGAUCCAUGGGAGGAUAUUUAGUCUAUCUAGGACAAAAUUUCAUAUUUUAGAGUUCUAGAAAAUAACCUACCAUCGCCAAAUCAAGUACAUAAGUGGAAUAUAAAGUUAUUGCUAAUGCUACAGCCGAAUUAAUAUGGAUCAGGUGUCUUUUGAAGGAACUUCAUCUCUCUUUAUUCUUUUGAAGGAACUUCAUCUCUCUUUAUCAACCAUUUUGGUACUAUGGUGUGACAACAUUAGAACUACAUAUCUUGUCACCAAUCUUUUAUUACAUGCUUGCACAAAACAUAGAAAUAGGCUACCAUUUUGUGCAAGAAUAGGUCAACACUAACUAGGUCAAAAUUAGAUCUCUCCAAAAAGAUUAAAUUUCCGAUAUACUCACCAAGCCACCAUCCAAGCAUUUGUUUCUCUUUGAAAUCUAAGGUCAAUGUUCUUCCCACAAUGAGCAUGUAAGGGAGUAGUAAAGCUAAUGAAGGCUCAAAAGAAAAGUUAUGUGAACUGGUUCAAUCACCAACUCAAAUCAAUAGAACUAAAUUGGCUAAUAAAAUACAGAAGAUCAACAUAUAUAAUACAUCAUCAACUGUUACUUCAGCCUUACAAAUUAGAAUCGGCUAGCAUAUUAAAAUAGCUAUGUCAAAAAAAACAACUAAUACAUAUAUAUAUAGCAGUCCACGGAGCUGCAUCCCUACUCACCUGGUCCAUAUAUAUAUAUAUAUAUAGAUACACACACACACACACACAAUCAUGAUGCAUUGAGGACACCCUUUUUUAAAACAUAACAAAUUCACACUUGAUAUCCCCCUCUAUUUUGUUGUUUCCUCUUCUCCUCUACCUUGGUUCUCCCUUCUAUCUCACAAAUUUCUAUGCUUGCUAGGUAGAUGGUGCAGAAUCCCCCUUUGCUGAUGUAGAAGGCAUCGGCAAAGUUGUUGGUGGCAUGAGCAAUGUUGAGGAAGUUAAACUUGUCAUCCCUCUCCCAUGUUGUUGACUUGAAGUCCUACUCAUUGUGGCCGAUGCCUCGAGGACAUUAUGCCGUUGCAUACAGCAGCGAUAAAAGCACCUCACUAUAGCGAUGAUGAUGAAGAGAAUAACCAAACCAACGAUGCAACCACCAAUAUAGACGGCUGCAUCAGGGGGGUCAUGGUCACUAUUGGGGAAGGUUCCUAUGAAAUUCAUGGUAAGGGCACUCUAGAAGACGUUCUAGCUAGGAAUAUGGCAGAAAAGGAGGAAUCUAGGAACAUGGUAGGGAAGGAGGAUAGGAGAAGGGGAACCCUUAAAUGGGUGAGAAACAUUGGGCAUAUAGAAUUCAACCCCAUGGGGCCCUCUAAGUUGACUUGUACAUUGUCUUCGAACGGUAGUUUAUUUCCCUUAAAAGUUGUCCAUGUCAAUGUGAAAUCCACUACGCUUCAACAAGGAAUGUCGUUGUACUAAAUAAAUGAAUCCAUUAGAUUUGGUUUGAAAUACUUACCAAAUGUGGACUUUGUCAAACCUUUGGGGGGGCUUUUCCAAGGUCUUACAAUAAAUUGAAGGAAUUCAAGGUUUCCUUACAAUAUUUAAGCAAAAGUCAGCGGGGCUUCGAACUAGUGAACCUCAUUUCUAUACUUGUAAUGUGUGACCCAUGUCGACGGACUUUUGACCGUCAUUUUGUCUGAGACACGUUGAAGUAACCUGGGUCCGAUUUGCACGAUCACAGCAGAUUGUGGUGGCGGCACGACAAUGUUUGCUAUUUCUUCAAAUAGCCCCUUGUUUACAUCUGUCAAUUCUUAGAAUAUGAUCCAAUCAAAUCAACUGUUAGCACAUUGCACAUAGAAAAAAGAUACUUCACAACUUGGAUGUAAUCGUGGUCACGAAAAUCAUCAUAAUUUGUCAAGACAUCUCCACCAUGUAGAAUGCCACACAUUCUUCUCAUAAAAGGCCAUAAUACCCUUUCAAUAGUCUUUGAGUCAGGUCCCACAACUACUUUAUCACGACAGAGACAAAUACAUAUAAAAAUAUCUGUCAAAUGGAUAAACCUAUGACUUGGCAGCCAAAGAAAGACUCUAUGUGUUUGUGUUAGUAGAGAGAGAGAGAGAGAGAGAGGUGUUCCACGUGAUGACACUCUUUUAUGUUGACAAAGGAGGCUGGAGAUGAUGCCCAGGGAUGUUGACUCAAGCAUAUGCAAUUGGAAGGUCCUAUCAUCCGGUUCACUUCUGAAACUCAAGGAAUUGGCUUUCGAUUGUGGUGUAGAAUGUCCCAGCAUGCAAGCCGAUGUAGAGAAAACCAUUGACUUUUGCCUGGAAAAGUUGUCACCACCAGGCUUUGCUUGUUGACUAGAAUUAGAAUUUAUGGGUACAGGAAGAGGUAUGGUCCAUUAUCAAGAGAAGCCAAAGAACUUAUGAGGAAAAUGGGCCCCACCUUCCAUGCAUUUGAAAUGGCUAGGAACUCACAUGACAUCAAUCAAUGCUAUGGUGAAGGAGCAAGGUCUCUACAUCUGGAUCUCCUCCAUUGCCUCAAGUGGCAAGGCAGAACUUUGGGAGAGGAGGAAGGUUCAGAAGGAUGGGAUUGGCAUAGUACUCCAGCCAACAUCCUCCUUGGUUGUGAUGCCUUGGUACUUUGCUUUGGAGCUGCCUCCCCUUGUCAUGGUGACUCCUCGCCUCAACCAUACACACCCACAUGAGAGGAGAUCCCAAUUAGCAUAUGGAAAAUAUCCUAAUGGUCAAUGGGAGAUCAUGAGCCAGUCGAUCUAUAUUUAUUUUGAAGUUCAUAUCAAACAGCAUUCAAAAAGAAAAAUAUAUUAUGAGUUAGUACAAGUUGACAUAAUAAGACCCCAAGGUUAAUUCGACACGACUCAAAUAUUUAAUAUGACUUCAAUUCUCUAUUAUAUUAUAUGAUAUCAUAGGGUUUUUCACCUUUAUAAAUAUAAAUAAAUGAUUUCUUUUAGAAAUUGAUUCAAAAUAAAUAACAUUAAGUUUUUAGAUAUCUUUACCUUCAAAAUAUUAGAUUACACAGAUUUUUCUAAGAAAUGUUAUAAGCAAGCUCCAUAUAAUAAUCAAACAUUCUAUUUUAGAACCAUAUUCUGCUCAUCUACAAGAAGAAUAGAUUGUCAAGUUUCUACAUAGAUAGUCAAAAUUUGAACAAGGCAAUCAUUUUGAUCAAUUAUUGAUUCCAAUUAUGAAAAAAAUAUUAAAUGUGUUGAAUGGAGCAUAGAUAUUUUGAAAUGGAAUCUUAGAUUAAGCUAUCAUCACAUUCAUACGCCAUUACAUAUUUCUUGUAUUAUUGUAGGCUCUUCAAUCCACAAACUACCUUUCAAGUACUAAUGAGCAUAAUAUUUUAUAAAUAUCUUUUAAAUUUUAUCGUAAUUUUCUUUGAUGAUAUAUUGAUUUAAAAUAAGGCAUGAGAGGAACACAAAGGGCACCUCACUUAAGUAUUAGGCACUCUCAAAUCUCAUCAGUUGUACAUUAGUCUAAAGAAAUUUUUCUUUGAAAAAUCUCUAAUCUUCUAUCUCGAUCAUUACAUAUCAACAAUAUUAUUGGUCAUGGAUCUAAUGACUAUCAACACUUGACAUGGUCAUCUUCGGUCAACUUCUGUGAGUUUCAUAAACUUUCCAUUAUGAUUUAGUAACAUCAUUGAUGUGACUUAAUCGUUGUAUAAUAAAUCACACAAAUUUAAAAUUUAUAAAACUAGAAAAUACCAAUUCUUAGAAUUUUAAAUGUUUAUCAGAAUGAAUAAAUCAAUUAUAAAUCGAUAAAAUAUUUCAAAAAUAGUGAAAAUUUUCUAAGUUAAUCACAAGGAUGAAAUAUAAUAUCGAAUAAUAUGUUAGAAUUUUUCUCAAAGAAUAUGAUUUUUUUUAAUUUUUUAACUGAAUGAUAAAUAUAAUAUAUUUAAUAAAUGUGAAAAGAAAAUAAUUUUAUGACAUCAGGUGACGUCAGCACCUAAAGAACACGAAUCGAGUAGAAAUAGAGUUCCAACAUAUGAUUCUUUCGUAAGCGAUUACCAUCAAAUUAAUUGAUCAAAUUUAGUUCUGUAAAAGCUCAAAGAAUUGUAACUUAAGGAGGAAAGAUAUUGAAGGUCAAAAUUAUCCAAAGAUCACUAAUUUAAAUGAAAAUAAAUUUUAAAUUAAGAAAAAUAGAGUUUCGACUUUGCGGCGGCGAUCACUAAAAUUAUGCGUGUUUAGAAAGGAAAUCAUGCAAUGUCCACAACCUCGAAGGCUCUUCUUGGACAAAGAAGAUGUGGGUAAUCUCUAGAUCUUCUUUUGAAGCCCAAAAAUCGAUGGAAUAGGUCGUCAAAUUAUUUCCAAUGGUUGUCACCUGGUAGAAUAGAAAAAUGGUGACUUGUGGCCCUCUGAUGACUAUCACUCGAUAGAGGUAUGCUAGAUAGAGGUGGGGCAUGUCGCAGCAAGAGGAGGCCCUUUAUCACAUCUAGUACGCUCUCAGGAGGUGGUGACUCGUCCCCUAGUGGAUCAUCCUCUUCUCGGCGAUGGCUUGUUCGUCAAUCAAGCGAAGAUGAUUUUUUCGUUAAGUUUGCAAUAUUUUUUCCAAAAUCCUACACCAAUUUCGGUCACGAUGCUCUACAAAUCACGUUGACUAAGUUUUUGGUAAAUUUUUGGCAAUUUUUGUAGCUUAAUCGCUCAGUGAAAAUUAUGAUUUCUUUGCCGGUUGUCUGCUUGCGAGAGAGAGAAAGAGAGAGAUAAAAUAAGUACUAAACUACCCUUAAUGUAUGACGUCAUAAGGAUUAUUUUUUAACAGUCAUUGAGGGGCAUUGUUGGUAUGUAUAAAAUAUGUGGGAAAAAGUUAAAGCGCUGGGUUUAGUCCCACAUCAGUUUUCUAGGCGAUUUUCACGCGAAUAUAAGGUGGCACCUUCUCCACUCUACAAUAGGUACAAAUCACUAGCGUGUGUAUGACCACUCCUUGUCCCACGCCCGGCUGGUCACCGAUGACAUGGAAGGAGAGUGACACACACAUCAACUGCUUGAGCGCCUAGCUCGCGGUCUACAUCACCAGCCACUUGAGCCUCGAGUUUGCAGUCCUUAGCCGCUCAGCAGCCCUACCUAACUAACUAGGCCUCUGACCUGCUAAUAGGCCCGACUGUCCGGUGGUGUUUUUAUUUUUUUAUUAAAUCUUUUUCCAUUUAUCUCAACAAAAUAAGAUUAUAAAAUCAUGUAAUUAAUCAAAAAUUCAUAUUAAGCAAUCAGAAACCACUUUUCACAAUUUAGCACAAAAAUAAAUCUAUUUAUCAUGAGUUAAGGCUAAAAACAUCAUCUCACUAAAUUAUUAACUCAUGAUAAUGAAGACUUAUCAAUCAUCACUUCAUCAUUACCCCUAGAAUAAUCAUGUGGGAUCUUAUUUAAAAAUUUAAAUGUAACUAUUUUAAUUGGGGUUUGAAUGUAGAAUCAACCUACCAUUAGCUAAAGAUUGCAUUAAUUUUAGUCCUAGUACUCCCACUUGUUGACUUCUCCUAGAAUUUAGAAUUAGAAGUUGUGAUGUACUCCAUAUAGUAGAGAUGCUAAUGGUUGAACUAAAAUUAAUUAAAUUAGGCCAAAAGAAGAAUAAUUGGGAAAGGUGACCCAUUGAAACUAUUAAGGCCUAAAAGACACUCAAAACUUUAACAUGGCAAUCACAAUCUAUUUCUAUUAGUUUUACCGUCUGUUAAUUUAGAGUCAAUUCCAUUAUAUUCAGAACGUAUUAUAUUAAUAAAAUAUCUCUUUUACAAAGUUCAUUAGUUUGAUUUUGUUCAAAGAAUGUUAUUUGAACAUAAUAUCUUUACUUUUAGAAUUAUUUACUAUGAUUAAAUUUGGAAUAAAUGAUUAAUCUUCAUAUUUCCAUAAAUGUGAAAAUGCAUGUGUGAUUCCAUGUAAUUAUAGGAUUAAAAUAGAUGAUGAUUAAAUUUGGUGUCUAAUAGUGCAGAGUAUUCUUAAAUUUUACUUGGAUUUAUUUCAGGAUUAAAUGAGGAGAAUUUAAAUUAUUGUUAGGACUAAAUGACAUGUAAAAUAGAUUCAUCUUUUGAGCCCGAAUCAAUUCUUGGCCUAAAAUAAAUCUAAAAUUAAUUUGAAAAUGGCCUUGGCCCAUUCAUUCAGUACAUGGCCUAUCUUGCAGCCCAUUUAGAGAAAAAAUAAAAUAAGGCAGUCCCAAAACCCUAUCUUGCUCUGCCUUUCAUUAUCCCAACUCUCCUUCACAUGCUUGUCUCCUCCCCUUUCUCUCUUCCAUCCUACAUCUCUUCUCUCUCUCUCUCUCUCUCUCUCUCUCUCUCUCUCCCUCUCUUUCACUCCUCCUCCCUCCCUCUCUUUGUUGCUGUGAUAUCCCCCUCUUGUGUGUGUAAAGGGGAAGAGUUAAGAAAACCUAUGAGCAAAACAAAGUUAUUGGAUCACCUUUUUGUUCUCGUUCUAUAUUAUGUGAAGGGGAUUUUUCAUAAAUCAGAACAAAAGGGAAUGGGUUUAAAUGCAUUCACAUCAUCAAUUAUAAUUUGAAUAGAUAUUAUAUCAACUUAUUUCAACAAAGAUAACAUUAGGCAUGGAUGGAAUUGAUUAUGUCUUCAUUUAAUGUCUAGGAUUUAAAUAAAAUCUUUCUAAUCAGAAUGAAAAUAAGAUUAAGAAAAGGGGAACAAGAAGGGAAAAAAAUUAUUUCAUCACAGAGAAAUAAUCAAGUCUACAUACAUUCACAUUGUAUCAUUUCGAUAAAUUAUGAGAUAAAUUAGGUACGUUGUUUAUAUCUUAUUUAAAUUCAAUUGAGAGAGAAAAGAUUUUAUAUAAUCAUGAAAUCAAGAAGAUAGAAGUGAUGAGCUAUUCUAAUUUUGGGCCUCCUAGAGCCCUGAAAUCUGUAAGAAAUAACUGAGGUCCUUCUCUAGUUUUGGCCAGCUAGACCUGUCAAUUCAACAAGGGGAGUAAUAACUUCUAGAGUCACUAGACUUGCAGAAUCCAACUAGUUUGUGUGCUUGGAAGUCAGUGUGUAAACACUAAGACUUGGUGGAAUUUAAGGAUAAUAUUUUUAGAUAUCUUAUGUGAAAUUUUCUUUAUGAUUAUUCUAAUUUGAGAUUCAAUAUUUGAUUUUGAAGAAAACUAUAUCAAUUCAAGCUCCCUUUGUGAUGUUGUAGUACUACUUAGACAUCAAACAAAGGUCAGCAUGGAAACCAAAAUACCAACCUUACUUUUGAAGCUUGAAAUAAUGGGAGAACCGGAAAAGAAGGAGCCUCUCCCACCAUCAUAAACUUUACGCAUUCUCUUCCCACAGGUUUAGAUACAGAAAAAUAAAAAAAAUAAAAGAGGGAAGGAGCUGACGUCUGCAAUGUCAGUCUUGGUCCAAACAUUUGGCUUAGUUGCAUCGUGGAAAGGAGACUUUUCAAGUCAACGGGGGGUGUCCGGAACCGACACCUGGACGGCGCUCGCUUCAUCCGUAUCUCUCCGAUCAGCUACUUCUUAAACUCGACGAGCUUGCCGAGGGUGAUGGUGCCGAACGGCUCGGAGAGGUAGGCUGGGGUUCGGGCUGAGAUCUCCUGAGCCACGAACCUCAUGAAGGGGCGGGCCUCCGGGUCCUUGUUGGUGCAGGCCAGGGCCAUCUUGACCACGAACACGACCUCCUCCGCCAGCUGCCCUGUUGGGGGGGGCAGGCACUGGUCGAGAACGCCCUUCAACAGCAGCGCCUCGCCGUCGCCGGAGGAGGAGGACGACGACAGGGAGGCGAUCAGGUCCGCC
This 60786-nucleotide long non-coding RNA is filed under the name Spirodela polyrhiza (greater duckweed). RNAcentral's name for it is "long non-coding RNA (SPOL_LNC000977)". Lineage: Eukaryota; Viridiplantae; Streptophyta; Magnoliopsida; Alismatales; Araceae. The record is from RNAcentral.